RNAcentral lists this long non-coding RNA (88912 nucleotides) under Malus domestica (apple). RNAcentral describes it as "long non-coding RNA (MDOM_LNC017452)". The record is from RNAcentral. Lineage: Eukaryota; Viridiplantae; Streptophyta; Magnoliopsida; Rosales; Rosaceae.
AUUUAGUUCACACAGCUUGGGCUAUGAUGGGUUUGAUUCAUGCAGGGCAGGCGGAAAGAGACCCCACACCUCUCCAUCGUGCAGCAAAGUUGAUAAUCAAUUCUCAGAUGGAAAAUGGUGAUUUUCCUCAGCAGGUAUCUUGCUUACCACAUUAGUUCCAACCAACAACAACAACAACAACAAAGCCUUUUCCCACUAAGUGGGUUCCAACCAAAAGAAAAAUAAAAAAAAAACAAAUUCUCUUAGUAUUACUUGCAUCGCAAACUUGACGAGUACAAAUACGAACAAAAUAACAUAUCGUGUUGUGUUGUUUCUACGUAUGCUCAAAUUUUUACUUCAAACGUUUUAUAAAUUCUAAUCACUAAUUAUAUAUGGCAGGAAAUCACUGGAGCGUUCAUGAAGAACUGCAUGCUACAUUAUGCAAAUUAUAGAAAUAUUUAUCCCCUGUGGGCUCUUGCAGAAUACCGAAGGCGGGUUCCAUUUGUUGAUGUCUAAGCUUUGCAGCCAAGUUUAUGAAGAAAAUAAUGUUUUGAUUCAUUUGAAAAGCUUUGCAUUUCAGUUUAAGUGUUUGUAAAUGGAUGGUCAUGAUUAUAACAAGCUCAUAAGCGUAAUGGGUGCCAUCUGUUAUAUUGGAUGAGAUACUCCAGUGAUCCAUGUGCAUUACGCAUGAUCCGUUCUGUUUGUUCGGUAGUGGAGGUCCAACGGCUAUACGCCUAUGCCCUCUCACACCUUACAUACUUGUAAUGCUUCAUCGAGAAGUAAGGAAUUUGUGUAACAGCACCAUCAUCUUCUACCUCUCCCCUUCUGCAUUGUUCUCUGCACCUUUCUUCAUUUCAAUUUCUUGCUGAAUGUUAUUGCAAUAAAACCAUCAUAAACCACCUAAAUUACAGAAUCUAACAUGGCUUUAGAGCCUAAGUUCGAUUAAACUUUCAUCUGGGAGUGAAUUGUGCUUGCAGAAUCAAGCUCACAACCAGCUUCUUCUCUGCAAUACUGAGCUUUGUAAACACUGAAAUCUGUCAGAUCCGAGUCUAAUAUGGCUGGAUCAACUAGUUCUAAACUUAGUACACUAUUUUUCAAUGGCAGAAACUACGAAUUCUGGAGAAUCAGAAUGAAAACCAUUCUCAAGUCUCAUGGACUUUGGGAUCUCAUUGAGAAAGGGUUUGAAGUCCCUGAAUCGAAUAAGGAGUUGGCUGAAAGAGCCACUGAUGCAAAGAAGGAGAAAGAGUACUCAAGCACUCUUGCUCAGGAGCAGAUGAAGGAUGCCAAAGCCCUUGGAUUGAUCCAAGGGGAGCUGUCUCUGAUCAAAUUCCAUUAUGAAACCAUGGAAGAAAGUGGAGAGCUCUUAAUAGCUGUUUUCAUAGGACGACUUCUGUCCGGUUUUAACUAGCUAGCAAGCUUCACAUGGUGUGGGAGACUGAAUCACGUAUGUCAUCUUUGCCAAUAGAUGACCAUUUGAUGCACGAAGUAUGCGACACAUCAUACCCCUUGUGGGUGUCCACCAAAGUUGGAAAGUGCUCGAGUCAAUUGGCUUUGGUCGAAUGAAUAGGUUUGACUCGAUCGUUCUGAUAGUCGUCUUAUAGCGAUAGGGCGAGAGUGCUCUCAAUUUCUUCUGGUAAGUUUUCCUGUUAGUUUUGUUCAUGGAAGAAAAAAAUAUCGCCGAUAUUAUCGUUUUUUUGAAGAUCCGAUAUUUUUUUAACUAUCCAAAUGAUUUUCGUCAAAAUAUCGAGAUAUUAUCGAUAAUAUCGAUAAUAUCGCGAUAUUUUCGAAAUUAUCGAUAAUAUCGCCACAUAAUACUAAAAAAUACUUAAAUAUGUUGAGAAAACUCAACACAUACUUCACUUGAUCAUAACCCAAAGGGCGAUCAAGAUAUGGCUUACUACGCAGGGCAAUGUGGCUUUUAUAGGACAAAUUGCGAGGGCAGUGAGCAAGCAUGGGCGAUGUGGGACUCUCCCAAUAGGAGAAAAUCAGAAUUUCGGCCGAAAAUUUACACCCACUUUAAACGGCCAUAACUUUGUCAAACCUCAACGAAAUCAAGCAAGACAAAAACGAAAGUUGUAGCCCUCGAAGAGACGAAGAGAAUGGUACCUCACACGACAUCUGAAUCAUCGUUUUUUGCCGGAAAAUGCCUCGAUAGUCACUGAGAUCGCCGGAAACUGAGUAAGAUUCAAAUGAGUGUAACUUUUUUAAUACUCAACGAAAUUGAGUGAAACAAAAAAGAAAGUUGUACUACUCGAUGAGAAGAAGAGAUUGAUGCCUUGCACGCCGGCCAACUCGCCGUGGUUUGGCCGGAAAUUUCCUCGAAAGCCACUGAGGUCGCCGGAAAUUGGGUAAGAUUCAAAUGAGUAUAACUUUUUAAAUACGCAACGAAAUUGAGUGAAACAAAAAGGAAAGUUGUAGCCCUCGAAGAGACGAAGAGAAUGGUACCUCACACGACAUCCGACUCGUUGUGGUUUGGCCGGAACUUGCCUCGAAAGCCACUGAGGUCGCCGGAAACUGGGUAAGAUUCAAAUGAGUAUAACUUUUUCAAUACUCAACGAAAUUGAGUGAAACAAAAAGGAAAGUUGUACUACUCGACAAGACGAAGAGAUUGAUACCUUGCACGCCGGCCAAAAUUCAAUUGACACACUCCUGGCUUCCAAAAUUCAAUUCUUUUACUUUAUAUAAACUUGAAAAAACAUAAUCGGCAUCCAAAUUAAAGUUUAGUCUUAUUCUUAUGUGUAAGAAAUUUAAAGUGUCAAAUUCGGCACAUUAUUCUUCAUCAUUUUAUUCACUUCCCUUUUUUUUUUAAUAUCCUAAAUAAAACCUCCAAAUAUUGUACUAAUUAAUUAUAUAUAAAUGAUUAUAGUGUGUUUAAACUUCUUUCAUUAAUUACUACAUAUUUUCUACACUCACAAUGUUUGCCAGCUCGCUAUAUAAUCAACUUAAAUCAGUUAAAUCCAUCAUGCAAUGCAUUUCCUUCCAAUUUUUUGUGAUAAACUAAUAGAUAAUUGACUAAAUAAACAUCCUACAAAGUUUCAUUAAAAAUUUCCAAGUUUUUCUUACAAUUUCCGUGGUUUCCAUGUAAUUUUUAUCGAUAUCGAUAUUAUCCCGAUAUUUCCAUCGAUAUUUCCGUGUUUUCGGACUACCGAUAUUUCCGAUAUUUUCUUCCUUGGUUUUGUUCGACUUGGUAAACAAAUAUAAUCAACCAAAUAGAAAUAGAUUAUUAAAAUCUUUCAAGUUGUUUGAAUAUUGCUACUUAAUAUUAUGGUCUAAUAGUAUUUAUUAAUAUUUCUUUUUACUUAUAAGUAGAGGUGUUAGAUUUCAAUCUCUUGAUAAUUACCCCAACACCAAUUUAUUAAUUCCUGUAAAAUUGGUUGAAUUAUAUUGUUUUUUUUUUCCUUAAGUGAAACGGUGGGGACACUGUUUUGGGGAGUGAUUUCAGCGUUAGUUAACGCGCUUAUUUUCUAUUAGUGACACAUCAUUUUGUUUGCAAAUUUGGUUUAAAAUUUUGGUUUUCCUAACAUUACCCAUAUGGAUAAUGCUAGGGAGGCUAAUUUUUUUAAACCAAAUUUGCAAACCAAAUGAUAUGGUUGUUGGAUCAUUACUUUAUCGUUGAUUAGUGUAUUUAUUUCCUAUUAGUGACACAUAUUGGUUUGCAAAUUUGGUUUAAAAUUUUAGUUUCCCUAGCACUACCCAUAUGGAUAAUACUAGGUAGACCAAAUUUUUUAAACCACAUUUGCAAACCAAAUUAUAUGGUUAUUGAUGUUUGGAUCAUUACUUCAAUGUUGAUUAACGUGCUUAUUUUCUAUUAGUGACACAUCAUUUGGUUUAAAAAUUUUGGUUUCCCUAGCAUUAUCCAAUUGGAUAAUGCUAGGAAGACCAAAUUUUUAAACCAAAUAAUAUGGUUGUUGAUGAUUAGAUCAUUACUUCAGCAUUGAUUAAAGUGCUUAUUUCUUAUUAGUAACACAUCAUUUAGUUUGCAGAUUUAAUUUAAAAUUUUGGUUUUCUUAGUAUUACCCUUUCAAUAUCCCAAAUAGAUAUAACUUGGUAGUUAAAUCCAAAGUCAACUCCCUGAAGCCAAACUCAUUUAAUUUAUUUUAUUGCAAUCAAAGUAAACUUAUUUUCUACACAUUAACUUCUUAGUAAUAAAAGAAACCCCACGAGCUUCUACAUCUAUUAUUUUAGCAUUUACACCAUGAAUUAACUCAUUGACUGAUUUGGGUGGUAACAUAAGCCGUAUUAUUUGGUAGUAAAACUACAGUUUUUUCAAGAUAUAAAACAGUAUUGUCCAAUGUACUAAUCAUAACAGCUGAUGGAAAAACCGAAAAUGGGAACUUUUUGUGGCAAUGGACAUGACGAAUGUAUCUAUUUUUAUCUUUGGCACCUUUCUGUAUAGCAAUUGGGUAAACUAAAGAUGAGGAAUAGGCUUAUAAUAGCCUUGGAUAUUAACUUGUAAACCUAACUGGACCGACCUUGAAUUCCAACUCACAUAUUCACUCGAGUUUCUCCUUAACUAUAAGAUGAGAAAUAACUAGAUCUGACAUUCGUGUCGUGUUUUCUGUGUUCAUAUUGCUUUCGUGUCAUACUCGAUAUUUUAACAGGUCGUAUCGUGUAAGACCCGUUAAAAUAAAUGGAUAUAUGACCCGACCAGAAAUUGACUAGUUAAUAUUAAUAGGUAAUAUGACUUGGCCCGUUACCUGUUAAAGAAAAUAUAUUUUAAGCCAAUAAAUAAUCAAAUGAAAAAUAUUAUACUAAAUAGUAUACACAUACCACAUUGUCACAUAAAUAUUACUUCAACAUAAAAACACAUUUGUCUUUCAAGUAUCACAUAAAAACAGAAAAAUAGUGAAAUAAAUUAUAUAAACGCUCGUACUAAUUAACAAGCUUUACAACUUUCGUGAAUGGCUCAAAUUUGAAAUUUGCCACUAUAAUCACAUAAACUAUAGAUUGAAAUUUGCAAGAAGCUUAUUUGCUUAACUAAAUCCAUUGGCCAAUAAAGAAUCAUGCUUACAGAUUCAUUAAAGUUUGUUGGUACCAUAUACUGGGCCUCGUCUUUGGGUCUCAUCCCUAAGCUCAUGACAAAUGUAAAAGGGGAGGGAGCCCUUAUUCUAUAAAAGGGACUCUCCCUCACCCUCAUAAAGGAGGACUCACCUUCACUAAGAGUUCCAGAGAGUCUCAGAGCCAUACCUUCAGAGGAAACGGUUUCACACUCAAUCCUCACAACAAUAGAGGGCAGUACCCUCUCAGCCAAACAGAGAGUAAAAUGGCAAGGGCUGUAUCCACAGAGAGCUCCCUUGCCGAUCUAUUGUAAUCCAUACAUACAUACACAAUCAGCAUCAAUGUGGACGUAGCCCAAACAUUAGGGUGAACCACGAUACAUCUUUGUGUUCUUGUGCGUUUGUGUGAUUCACUGUCGGAUUUACGUUGGUCCAAGAUCCUCAGGAUUUUGUGCAUUAACAUUUGGUGUCAUCUGUGGGAAUCGACACGAAAAACUAUAUCGGUUCUCUUUCAUUUUUUCAUCUCACCACCGUGAAUCUGCACAACCCAGAAACCUAAAACCUCAAUCUUGGGGCUUUUCCAGAAAACCUUCGCAGACCUUAAACCAUCAUCUCUUCCUCUCUCUCGAUCUCUUAGAAAACAACCAAUUCGUUUUCUUCUUCCUCUCUCAAUCUUCAGCAUCAAUCAAACAUGUCUGCUUACAGAGGCAAAUACGCUGAUGAGCUUAUCGCCAAUGCUGCCUACAUCGGGACCCCUGGAAAGGGUAUUCUUGCUGCUGAUGAGUCAAAUGGCAUAAUCGGCAAACGUUUUGCUAGCAUCAAUGUUGAGAAUGUUCAAUCAAAUAGACGUGCUCUUCGCGAACUCCUUUUCACUGCCCCUGAUGUGCUCCAAUACCUUAAUGGAGUUAUCCUCUUUGAGGAAACCCUCUACCAGAAGACCACUUCAGGCAAGCCAUUCGUUGAUGUCUUGAAGGAAAGAGGUGUUCUCCCUAGAAUUAAGGUCGACCAGGGUACCGUUGAGCUCGCCGGAACCAAUGGUGAGACCAUAACCCAGGGUCUUGAUGGCCUUGCCCAGUGUUGCCAGAAGUACUAUGAAGUUGGUGCACGGUUCGUAAAGUGGCGUGCUGUGCUUAAGAUUAGCCCUAUUGAACCAUCUCAGCUGUCCAUCCAAGAGAAUGCCAACGGGUUAGCUCAUUAUGCCAUCAUCUGCCAGGAGAAUGGCCUAGUCCCCAUUGUUGAGCCAGAGAUCCUGGUUAAUGGACCACAUUCCAUCAAUAAGUGUGCAGAUAUGACCGAAUGUGUUCUUAUCGCAUGCUAUAAGGCAUUUAGCGACCACUAUGUCCUGCUUGAAGGGACUCUCUUGAAACCCAACAUGGUUACCCUAAGAUUUGAUGCCAAGAAGGCUUCACCAGAAGUGAUUGCUGAGUACACAGUUCGUGCCUUGUUGCGCACUACCUAUGUAGCUGUCUCUGCUGUUGUGUUCUUAUCCGGUGGACAGAGUAAGGAUGAGGCUACCCUCAACCUUAACGCAAUGAACCAACUCAAAGGAAAUAAGCCGUGGUUUCUAUCCUUCUCCUUUAGACGUGCUCUUCAGCAUAGCACACUGAAGGCAUGGGCAGGGAAAGAGGAAAACAUCCCAAAGGCACAUGUUGCUCUCCUCACAAGGGCCAAGGCCAACUCAGAAGCUACUUUUGGAAUCUACAAGGGUGAUGCCAAACUCGGUGAGGGACAAGGAUGGGGAGGAGCUGGAAAAGAAGGAUCUCUGGGAAGGUACGUUUCGGAUUUCGGAUUUGCAUGAAGUCUCUGGUCACAGUUCCACUGCUAGAACAAUGAUGGACAAACAGAGAAGAUAAGAAUUUUAUUUUCACAACCUGCAACCGUCAGAAGAUGCCCAUCAACAUUUUGAAAAAGAUAAAACUUUCAUCAUGAAGGGGAGUGCAUGUCCCCCCCUCCAUUUUCUGAAAAAGCCACGGGAACAGUAAGAUAAGAUUCUUUUUUCUUUAUUAUUUUAUUCAUUUAUCAUUAUUUUGAUAAGAUCAUUUUGCUUUACAUAUGUGUGUAAAUUCUUUAACAGGAGAUCACAUCAUGCAUUUGCUUUACAGCUUUUGCUUUACAAUUAGCAAUAUGUUAUCUGUUUUUAUGAUUUGUGUAUAUAUAGUGCAUCCCCAUUGUCAUUAUAUUAAAGCUACAUGACUACUGCUGUGUACACUGCACGAGGAAGAUAAGAUCAUCUUUAUAUUCCUUUACAACCCAUUAGUUAAAUUAUUAUAUGUGACCAAAUUGGAUAUCAACAUACACACACACACACACACACACACACACACACACACACACACACACACACACACACACACACACACACACACACACACACAUAUAUAUAUUAUUCAUUGCCUAGUGACAUAUAUACAAUAUUUAUUCAUGGCCUAGAGUAUUGUGAAUGCCAUUAAACCAUGUCACUUAUACAACAUGUGAUUUACCCCACGACUGAAUAAAUUAUUUAUUUAUAGAAGGCACAUAGUACAAUAUUUUGCCUUGGCAAACUUUGUCAAUUUGAUUUAUUCAUUAUACGAUCAUACUUAUACUGUCAUUUAUUGUCAGGAAUUAUUGAGCAACUAGGUCCACUGAUCAACAUUGUUGCUGAUUAAAAGAACCCAAUAUGCGAACCCGACAAGCGGACCUGAGUCAUGUUAAGAAUUAACUUAUAUUGAGUGCAUGUCAAUUAAAGUAGAUACUUGCAAUGAGCAAUACCACGAGCCGACCUACCUCGCAGCGAGCAUAGCUUCUAGCCGAACAGCCUCAUAACGAGCAUCGCCUCCAGCCGAGCAACCACCUCGCCGCGAGCAUAGCCUCUAGCCGAGAAGCCUCGCAAUGAGUAUCGCCUCCAGCAGAGCAGUCUCAUAACGUGUGAUACCUCUAGCUGAGUGUUGCUUUAUGUUGAGCAUUGCCUUGUGUUGAGUACUGGUUCAAGAUAUCUAGCCACUUCGGCCCGUACAUGGAUUGGAUUUGAAGUCUCCAGCCAAAAGACUCUCUUGACUUAAGACUUGGGGGACUCAUGUUGGUACCAUAAAUUAGGCCUCGUCUUUGGGCCUCAUCCUUAAGCCCAUGACAAAUGUAAAAGGGGAUGGAGCUCUUAUUUUAUAAAAGGGACUCUCCCUCACCCUCAUGAAGGAGGACUCACCUUCACUAAGAGAUCCAGAAAGUUUCAGAGCCUCACCUUAAGAGGAAAUGGUCUCACACUCAAUCCUCACAACAAUAGAGGGCAGUACCCUCUCAGCCAAACAGAGAGUAAAAUGGCAAGGGUUGCAUCCACAGAGAGCUCCCUUGCCGAUGUAUUGUAAUCCAUACAUACAUACAUAAUCAAUAUCAGUGUGGACGUAGCCCAAACAUUAGGGUGAACCAUGAUACAUCUUUAUGUUCUUGUGCGUUUGUGUGAUUCACGGUCGGAUUUACGUUGGUCCAAGAUCCUCCGGAUUUUGUGCAUCAACAAAGUUCUUUCUUGAAUUAACUAAUUGACCUAGUGGGAAAAUGUUGGACGUUAGACUCUAAUCCAGCGGCUAAUAGGUCAAUAUAGUUAAUAAGGAUUGAUGUGGAAUGUAAAUGUGAUUAGGGUUUAGUCAUAAGCUAUAACUUGGACUCCAAGUAAAGGUAUAUAACCAGGUUAUAAUUGGAGAAUAAGGGCUCUUGAUACUAUCUAUUUGGAUUGAGAUUUGGUAUAUUAUAUCCUUGUACAAUAAGGAAUCCCAUCAUAUGAUUAUGGGAAUGUAUGCUAGGGUUGAAGUAGUAUAAAUACCAAGGGAUGGUCCCUGCAUACACCACCUAUACACAUAUUUGCAGAACUCCCUAUAGGUUCAAGUAAUACAGUGGUGGUGAGUGUGCAAAAGACCAACCUUCAAAGUCUAGGGUGUUUGAGGAAAGCUUGUUGCAAUUGCAGUUCUUGCCGUGCUAGGAAGAUGACUUCUCAAGGUUAGUUCUAUGGUGUUUUAAUGGUACAUAAACAUAUCAUGUUUAACACAGGUUGGUACUGCUAACUUUAAACCAGCUCACCUUCUUGGGUAGGGCACCAUUGGAUGUGUCUAUAAGGCUAAAUAUAGUGAUGGGAAGGUAAUGUUUUACUAUCACUAUAUCAUUGUUAUUUCUCUAGCUAACCUUUAUAAGUUCGUGUUAUAAAUUUUUGUUUCUAAAAAUUUUAUUCCAUAUAUGCGUGUUAGGUUUUGGCAGUUAAAAAGAUUGGUUCCUCACUUUUUCAAGGCUCACCGCUGCAAGAAUUUUCAAACAUUGUCGUAAACAUCUCCAAGAUUAAAGAAACAGAAGCUCUAUCUCUUUCUUUCUUUCUUUCUCUCUCUCUCUCUCUCUCUCUCUCUCUCUCUCUCUCUCUCUCUCUCUCUCUCUCUUUUUGUAACAAACAAAUUUUCAUUACUUGAAUAAUUACAACAAUACAAGAGGAUAUAUAUAGCCAGAGACUUGCUGCACUAAUGCCCUUAGCUCUUACAACUAAUUACAUAAUUACCACAACUAAUUGUUUACAGUUACAACUAACUAGUGACUUGUUUGGCUAGCUUAACAUCUAUGUUAAUACACCCCCUAAAGCUGAGCUUAGGAUUAAACAUUGAACCAAGUGGAAGCUUGGAUUUGAGAUAGCUAAAUUGACUUUUGGACAAAGACUUGGUAUGAAUGUCAGCCAAUUGAUUUUGACUACAAACAAAUUGGACUUUGAUGAGCUUAGCCAAUAAAAAUUCUCGAAUGUAGUGGUAGUUGAUUUCGAUGUGUUUAGUUCUGGCAUGGAACACCGUAUUGGAAGCUAGAGAGAUAGCUGAAAUGUUGUCACACCAGAGAUUAGGAACAUGAGAGAGAGAAAAACCAAUAUCUCAGAAAAUUUUGCAAAUCCAUGUAAGUUAUGCAAUAGUGUAGGCUAGAGAACGGUAUUCAACUUCAGUGGAUGAUCGGACAACUGUGGAUUGUUUCUUGGCACUCUAAUUAAUGAGAUUGGAACCCAGAAAGACACAAUAACCACUAGUGGAACGUCUAUCAAAUGUACAUCCUGCCCAGUCAGCAUCUGAGAAGGUAGUGAGGUUAAUAGGACCCUUUUUGAACCAAAUUCCUUCAGAGACAGUGCCUUUAAGAUAUCAAAGAACUCGUUUUGCAGCCUGCAUAUGUUGUUCUCGAGAAGCAUGCAUGAACUAGCAAAUUUGAUUGACUGCAAAUGAGAGAUCAGGACGUGUCCAUGUUAAAUAAUGCAAGCCACCACCAAUAGACCUAUACUUGGUUGGAUUGGAGAGAAGAUGAUCGGUGUGAUCAAGUUUGGUAGAACUAAGAGGAGUAUAGCAAGGCUUAGCACCAUCCGUAUUGGUUUUCCUAAGAAGAUCCAGUAGGUACUUAGUUUGAUGAAGAAAUAUACCUUCAGAGGACCGGUGAACUUCUAAUCUAAAAAAGUAGUGCAAUGGUCUUAGAUCUUUGAUUGGAAAAAGACUAUUCAACCUUUGAAUGAACAUAUUGCAUAAAGAGGGACUUGGGCCAGUUACCAAGAUGUUAUCAACAUAGACAAGAACAAUGACUGGAGAAGGACCUUUGAGAACAAAUAAUGAGGCAUCUGAAGAGGAUUGCACAAAUCUAAAUCGAAGAAAAGCUGAAAAAGCUUAUCAAACCAAGCUCGGGGUGCCUGUUUAAGACCAUAUAAGGAUUUCCUCAAUUUUGCAUACAUAAUGUGGCUUGCUGAGAUCAAUGAAGCCCGGGAGAGGGGGGUGGGGUUGCUGCAUAUACACAUUUUCCUUUAAAUCGCCAUAAAGAAAUGCAUUACUGAUGUCUAAUUGAUUUAAAAACCAAUUAAAUUGCACUGCAAGUGCGAGAAGGACUCAAAUGGUGACUGGUUUAGCCACGGGACUGAAAGUCUCUUGGAAAUCAAUGCCUUCUUGCUGGUAAUAUCCCUUUACAGCUAGGCAAACUUUAAAUCUUUCAACAGUACCAUUAGGCUGUUUCUUGACUCUAAAAACCCACUUGCAGCUAACAACAUUUUGAGAAGAAGAUGGAAGUACUAAGGUCCAAGUACCCGUGGAUUGCAAGGCAUUAAAUUCAUCUUGCAUAGCAGACCUCCAAUGAGCAUGUUUAGAUGCUCGCAGAUAUGUAGUGGGUACAUCAUCAAUAUCUAAAGGAAGAUGAUGCUUAGCAGCGACAUAAACUUUAGGCUUAUAGAUUCUAGCUUUGGAAUGAGUGACCAUUGGAUGAAUGUUACCCGUAGGCACUAGAGGAGAUGGAUCACUUGAAGAGAGAGGUUAUGUGAGGGAAAUAGGAUCAGAAUUGUGGACAGAACUUGAAGAUUCAUGAUUCUGUGCUUCUCCAAUAUUUGAACUUGAAGAAUGAGACCCUGAAGAUAACCUCGAGAGUGAAAUAGGGAACUGGAGAUCCAUAAAAGGUAAAAUAGAGUAUUGAACCAUAGCUGUUGCCUUUGAAAUAGAUUGAAAAUGAUAUGUAGUUUCAUUAAACUGCACAUGUCUAGAAAUAUAAAUUCUGCCAGUUUAUGGGUCAAGACACCUAUAACCUUUGUGUUGUAAACUAUACCCUAAAAAAAACACAACUUUUGCUUUUGGCAUCCAACUUUGAAUGAACAUAAGGCUUGAGCCAUGGGAAACAAUUGCAGCCAAAUACUUUUAAUUUGUAGUAAUGUGGGGGUUUGAAAAAGCAAUUCCCAAAGAGACCGAGAUAUCCCAAAUAUUGGCAACCGGUUAAUGAGAUACACAGCCGUGGAGAAUGCCUCAACCCAAUAGAUAUGAAGAACAUUAAAAGCAACAAGUAAAGUUCUAGCAGUUUCCACAAGGUGUCUAUGCUUUCUUUUUGCACAACCAUUCUGUUCAGGGGUAUGAGGACAUCUUAAUUAAUGUAAAAUGCCAUGAGAACGAAUAAAUGACUGAAACACAGUACUAAUGAAUUCACCCCCUGAAUCUGAAUGCCAAUUCUGAUUGUAUUUCCAAAUAAGUUCUCUACAUAAUGUUUGAAUACAACAAAAGUAGAAUAGACAUCAGACUUGGCCUUUAAUGGAAACAACAAACUAUAUCUACUAUAGUCAUCAACUAACAACAUAUAGUAUUUAAAACCAUUAGGUGAAGUAACAGAUGUAGGGCCCCAAAGAUCAUAGAGAAACAAUUGAAGGCUGUGAGUAGUAGUGGAGUUUGCAAAUCCAAAUGGAAGCUUAUGGUUUUUAGCAAGAACGCAAUUUGAACAAAAGAAGUCAACAGUGGUCUUGCCUUCGAUAGCAAGGUUAUUGCUGGAGAGAACUUUUCGAAAAAGUGAGGAAGAUGGAUGACCCAAUCUUCGAUGCCAAAUCUUCACAGGAGCUUUGACACUUAUUAAAGCUGAUGGUGAUGAAAGGAUGGUGUGAUUGGAACCUUGCAGUGGAUAAAAUCGAACUAUAACUUGGCCUCGCAAAAACAUCUUCCUGAAGCACGAUCCUUUACAGUGGAUCCAUCAAGGUCAAGAGUCAAAGAGCAAUUAUUGUCUUUAAGAAAUUGAUAAGCAAACAGUAAAUUAUGCUUCAUAUGCGGAACAUACAGUACAUUACUCAACUUAAAAGAAGUAUGAGGAGUAUGUAAAGAAGAGGAACCAAUAUUUUGGAUAGAGAGACCUUUACCAUCUUCUAUGUAGACCUUGUCUUCACCUGUGUAGGGAGAGGAGACAUAGAGAUUGGCAAUGUCAUUCGUAAUAUGGGAUGUAGCUCCAGAGUCCAAUAGCCAAGAUGGAGAGGGUUUUGAAGAGUAGUGAGCACACAAAGCAACAUGCUUGGCUGGUGGUACUCUUCCAAAGAUCUCGGGAUUCAUCCUGUCAAAACAGACAAUGGCUUUGUGGCUAGUAGAACCAUAGAGUUGGCAUGGAGUCUUGGUACCAGAUGAUGAUGAAGAACCAUGAUAAUUGGACCUGGAACCUUGAGGAUGACGAUUUUGAGUACCACGAUGAUUGCCAUUGAAAAAACCAUGCUUGGUAUUGUGAUUUCGAUUCCCUCUGUUUAAAGUGCGAUUUGGCCCAUGAUUAGAAUUAUAACGGAAGGAAGAGUGGAAUGGUUUAUUGUACACAGAAAAAGCCUGUGGAGAAGGUGUUAAUAACAAUGAGAUCUGAGACUGAACAAAAAAGGCCUGAAAUAGCUUAGUGACAGAAGAAGAAACAGUUUGCUUGCGACGAGCCAUGGACAGUUCUUUAGUAAACAGCAGACCAUGCAAUUCAUCAAGGGAGGUAGAAGAUAAGCGAAGCAUCAUAGAGUCAAUGAAGGACUCAAAUUCAUCAGGUAGGCCAUAAAGUGUUGCUACAAUUAGGUCUUGAUCAUAGAUAGGUGCACUAGCGGUUGUGAAAGAAUCCGAAAUUUCCUUAAUUUGUUGAAGAUAUUCUAAGAUCGAUUGAGAGCCUUUUUGAAUAGACUGAAGACGAGAGUGAAGCUGAUGAACAUGAGUAUUAGAAACUCCACCAAAACGUUGUUCAAGUUUCUGCCAUAACUCUCGAGAUGUGGAUACUCCAACCGUGAAAGGAAUUAGAUCUUCAGAGAGCGUCAAAUUCAACUAGAUCAAUAGAUUUUGAUAUUCCUCAAACCACUGCUUAAACGCUGGAUUCAUAGAUCGAUAAGGGAGAAGAGGAGCAGGACUGAAGGAAAAAAUUGUGAAAACAAGUUCUUUUGAGCAACAUCUACAACAUGCAAUUAACAAUUAAAGGUGGAAUCAUGCUUGUAUGCACUAAAAAAGAAAACUUUACCCAUGAAAUUCAAAGCCUAGUAGUUAGGGUGAACCAAGACUCAACUCAAGAACAAAGUGAGUUGAGAAAUCUUAUACCUUUGUUGAUUCCUUUUUGCAUAAGCAAAGGCUAAUCACCCAAAGAGAGAGCCUUCAUUCCUUGCUUCUUAGCUCCAUGGAUUUCUUGGAGGAGGAUUGUUGAAAGGAUUCUCCAAGUUCCCAAAAUAGAGAACCUUUAAUUUUUCCACACCAAGAAGAGCAUUGAUGAGGAGAUAAGUGACCUAGAGGAAGGAAGAUUGCUAGCUAUGUUCCUCUAGGGUGGCCGGCCUCUUAGAGAGAAAGGUAGAGUUUGUGUUCUCUCCAAUUUCCUCAAAGAAAACCCUAAUGAUGAAAUGGCUAUAAAGUUGCCUUUAUACCAUCUCACAAUGGAGUGGCAAACUUGCAAUUAAGGCAAGUUCCCUACCCUUCUCUAUAUGGCCGGCCUUAAGGGUUCAUUGGGCUUUCAAGCACUUUGUGUUUUCAAGUUGUCAUACAACUUGAGUUAAUGGGCUUGACAUUCAAAUCCCAUUGGGCCUUGCAGCCCAAAACUAACCCGAGGUCUAUAAUGAACAUAUUCGUUUGAUUAAUUAACAUAUUAAUUAAUCUUAGCCAUAAAUAAUUAAACCAUUUAAUUAUUCUUACUCAUCUCCUUUGUUUCUUCAAUCUCUACCUUACACGAUGUACGAUCUAUUAGGUUCCUUUUAGCGAGACAAUGGGCGAUUAGAACUCUUUGAAUCGAUUGUGAAUUGAAACAUACUUUUAAUUCUCCCGUUAGUGUUUAUACACGUUUAGGGCUUCCACAAACCAUGAGUGACACCUAGCAGUAUGUCAUGGUUACCCAAGCUAAUCAGAAGAGGUGGAUAACCUAUUCAGUUUAGGAUUACAAUGCAAUACGGUCUUUCUAUAAUACAAUACUCUUGACCACAUUGUUUGGUUUGAUAGUUUAUUCAUGUCUACUAUCUAAUGUGUUUCUUUUACUUAUAUGAUUACCUUGAAUGUGAUUUGGAACGACUUCCUAAAUCUCAUUCAUACUCUGGCCAUAGAUUCUUAAUCAAAUCAUAGAGUAUUCUCCCUCAUGAGUUCUCAUGUGACAUGAUUAUGAGAACUUCUUGUUGAUCGUGUUUAGUGGACUGAUUCUAUAUUAAGCACCUACAUUCUUGUCUUGGUGUCAGUCACACCAAUGACUCGAAACUAGUCACUCUCCCUAAGAGAAGACAUAACACAUACUGAUAUUAACGGACUGUCAAUGCCUAAUUGGCAAUCCUAUGAUUAGGAACGUUUAUGAUAUGUAUAUGAAAGAGAAUGGUCUCAUGAAUCUAACUUCUUUAGAUCACAUUCUCUCAAUUACAUAUUCUUUGGACUUAUCGUUUAAGCAGAUAACAUUUAUAUGAGACGACUUCAAACAAUAAUUUUUGCCCUUUAUAUUAAACUAGAUUAAUUUAACAUGUGAAAUGUCCGUAAAGUAUCAUCAUAUGAUUGAUUUUAGGGCACAUUUCCAACAUGGACAUGGCUCAGUACCAUCAAUGAGUCCAAGGAGCUUGUAUUGGCGAAGAAUUGAAGCAAACCGGGCUUGCAAUGGAAGAUAAUUGGUGUGCUUGAGCUUGAUGGGCACCAUACUACCAAUGUUCUGAAUUGUAAGAGACAAAUACGAAUUUGGAGAGGGAGAACUUCCAGAGGAAUUAGGGUUCAGAGAUGAUGAUUCAAAGGGGGAUGCCAUGACUGACAGAGGCAAGAUUCGAGAGAAAAGAGGGAGAAUUACGAAUCGAAAACAGAAAUUGAUCAAGAAAUCUAAAGGAAUUGAUCAAGAAAAUGAUCGAAAAUUCAAGGCUUGAGUGGAAGAGGAUCGAGUCGGUUAGUCGAUGAGAGUCGUGAGGCAGUUGGGCGAGAUACCAUAAAGAAACAAAAGCUCUCUCUCUCUCUCUCUCUCUCUCUCUCUCUCUCUCUCUGUAACAAACAGAUUUUCAUUACUUGAAUAAUUACAACACUACAAGAGGAGAUAUAUAGCCAGAGACUUGCUGCACUAAUGCCCUUAGCUCCUACAACUAAUUACACAAUUACCACAACUAAUUGUAUACAGUUACAACUAACUAGUGACUUGUUUGGCUAGCUUAGCAUCUGCGUUAAUAAAGAUUCGUCAUGCCAACAUCGCUGAGCUUGUUGGCUAUUGUUCAGAACAUGGGCACAACAUGUUGAUUUAUGAGUACUUCAGCAAUGGCUCGCUUCACGAAUUCUUACACAUGUCGGAUGACUACAGUAAUCCUCUAACUUGGAACACAAGAGUCAGAAUCGCCUUAGGCACUGGCUGUUGAGUAAGUGAAUAUAUAUACUUAUAUAUCUAGUAAUUAAUUAUUUUGGUUUACUAGGAUUUCUUGUAAUAAUUGUAAUAAACUCUUUGCAAAUUGUUUCCAGGUACCUGCAUGAUGGUUGCUUUCCAUCCACCGUUCACAAGAACAUCAAAUCAUCCAAUAUUUUUCUUGACAUCGAACUCAAUCCCCGUCUUUGCAAUUAUGGCUUGGCAACAUUUCACCAGGUUAAUUCCCGUCACUCUUAAAACUAAAUGCAACCUUUCAUAUAUAAAGAGAUCCGGGCUUUGCUGUCUAUAGAGAAUACGAUUAUUUUCAUGUAUUGAUGGUGAAUUUUCCUUCUUUUUUCAGCGUACUAGCCAAAACCUCGGGAUGGGAUACAACGCUCCAGAAUGCACAAAGUCAACAGCGUUUACAGGAAAGACUGAUGUUUACAGGUUUGGAGUAGUCAUGUUGGAACUAUUGACAGGUAGAUUGCCUGUUGACAGGUAUGUUAGAUUUGCGUCUUACUCUCCUUUCCAUUCAUGCUAUUAUUGUCGAUGUCAUGCAAUUCUAAACCGGUUUGGUUCCUCUCUUUAGUUCAAAACCACCGACGGAGCAGUGCCUUGUACGAUGGGCAACUCCCCAGCUUCAUGAUCUCGAUGCAUUGUCACAAAUGGUGGACCCUGCACUGCGUGGACUCAACCCUCCCAAGUCAAUCUCACGGUGUGCUGAUAUCGUUUGCCCUCUGUGUUCAAUUAAUUACUACGUAAUAGUUACCACACACCCAGAAACACAUUCGCAUAGAGAAAGGGAUCUAUAUAGUGACUUAGUUGCCUUAAACCCACUGGUUAGUACUGCAAUUUGGAUAUAGUACUGCAAUUUAUACCACAUUUACGGAUAACUACCACCCUAAACAUUUCUCUAAUAGUGGUGGGUCACAUCAAAAAGGUAGGUAGUAAAUGUGAUACAAAUAACAUUUUUCGAACUAAAUAUGAACAAUAAGUUCUCUUAAAAAAAAACUGCUUCUGCUUUUACUCUUAUUUUUUGAGCAUUGGGAAAUAACAAAAGAUUGUUCUUGACUAUUUUUUAUUCCUUUACAUCCAUCAGCGGGAGCCAGAAUUUUGGCCACCAUUGUCGGAGGAGGUGCUACAGUUGGUGCGGUUAGUGCAGAGCUCUACUGCGAACAUGAGUGAAGAUUUUGGUCUCGGGGCAUCUCGUCACUCCAGUGCCAUGAGCAGCAGGAGAGAAGAUCUGGCAUUGUCUAUGUUUUUAUUCAUCUCUUACUAAGUUGGCUUCAUUCCUCCGAAUUAUAGAUGCAAACAUGGUGCAUCUCUAAUCUGUCAUUGUAUGUUUUUUAUUCAUCUCUUACUAAGUUGGCUUCAUUCAUCUCUUACUAAGCGUGCUUAUACUUAAAACCAUGUCGUUUUGAGCAUAAAGGAGGUGUAGAGUGUCACGCCCUGAUCCCAAGAUACGUCUAGGAUCGACACGUGAUGAUAUAAAGUCCUUAUGAAGCUACCAUCCCUCGCUUCCGAAACAUGACAAAAAACAACCCCAAUGGUUGAACUGAAGUUGAGGAAUAGGCUUAUAAUAGCCUUGGAUAUUAACUUGUAAACCUAACUGAACCAACCUUGAAUUCCAACUCACAUAUUCACCCGAGUUUCUCCUUAACUAUAAGAUGAGAAAUAACUAGAACUGACAUUCGUCUCGUAUUUUGUGUGUUCGUAUCGUUUUCAUGUCAUACUUGAUAUUUUAAUGGAUCGUGUCGUGUAAGACCCGUUAAAAUAAACGAGUAUAUGACCUGACUAGAAAUUGACUCGUUAAUAUUAAUGCCAAGGAAACCAAAAUUUUAAACCAAAAUUGCAAACCAAAUGAUAUGGUUGUUGAUGUUUGGAUCAUUACUUUAGCGUUGAUUAACGUGUUUAUUUCCUAUUAGUGACACAUCAUUUGAUUUGCAAAUUUGGUUUAAAAUUUUUGUUUCCGUAGCAUUACCCAUAUGGAUAAUGCUAGGGAGACCAAAAUUUUUAAACCAAAUGAUAUGGUUGUUGAUGAUUGGAUCAUUACUUCAACGUUGAUUAACAUGCUUAUUUUAUAUUUGUGACAUAUCAUUUGGUUUGCAAAUUUGGUUUAAAAUUUUGGUUUUCGUAGCAUUACCCAUAUGGAUAAUGCUAGGGAGACCAAAUUUGCAAACCAAAUGAUAUGGUUGUUGAUUAUUUGAUCAUUACUUCUUCGUUGAUUAACGUGCUUAUUUCCUAUUGGUGAUAAUUAUUUGGUUUAAAAUUUUAAUUUCCCUAGCAUUACCCUUUCAAUAUCCCAAAUAGAUACAACUUGGUAGAUAAGUCCAAAGUCAACUACCCAAACCAAACUCAUUUAAUUUAUUUUACUGCAAUCAAAGUAAACUUACUUUCUACACAAUAAAUUCUUAAUAACAAAAAGAAACCCCACGAGCUUCUACAUCUAUUAUUUUUGCAUUUAUACCUGAAGUAACUCAUUGACUAAUUUGGGUGGUAACAUAAACUGUAUUAUUUGGUAGUAAAACUACAGUUUUUCAAGAUAUAAAACAGUAUUGUGUUAUGUUCUAGUGAUAACAACUGAUGGAAAAGCAGCAAUUGGGAACUUUUUGUUGACAAUGUACAUGACGAAUGUAUCUAUUUUAUCCUCUAUAGCAAUUGGGUAAACUAAAGCUUAGGAAUAGACUUAUAAUAGCCUUGGAUAUUAACUUGUAAACCUAACCGGACCGACCUUGAAUUCCAACUCACAUAUUCACCCAAGUUUCUCCAUAACUAUAAGAUGAGAAAUAACUAGACCUGACAUUUGUGUCAUGUUUUUUGUGUUCAUAUCGUUUUUAUGUCAUACUUGUUAAGACCCGUUAAAAUAAACAGGUAUAUGACCCCACCAUAAAUUGACUUGUUAAUAUUAAUAAGUAAUAUGACUUGACUUUUUACCUGUUAAAUAAAAUAUAUUUUAAACCAAUAAAUAAUGAAAUGAAAACUAUAAUACUAAAUAGUAUACACAUACCCCAUUGUCACAUAAAUAUUAAUUCAAACAUAAAACUACAUUUGUCUUUUAAGUAUCAUAUAAAUAUUAAUUAACGUAGAAGUGUGAAAAAUCUUGAAAAAAAUUAUAUAAACGCUCGUACUAAUUAACAAGCUUUACAACUUCCGUGAAAGGCUCAACUUUGAAAUUUGCCACUAUAAUCACAUAAAAUAUAGAUCAAAAUUUAACUGUUGAUUAUCGUUUACAUUUAUACUCCAUUCUUCUCACCAAAUUCUUCUUUUCAGAUUUUCUUUUUUGAAAACAUAAUCUUUUAAAGGAUGCAGAAAGAUGAACAGUUUGGGUCAUUGAUAUUAUAUUCAGAGUUUACCGUUAGUGAAAACAUUGUUUGGAGUUUAUAAAGUCUUUAGAAACUAUAUAACAUCGACUCGUAUUUCAGUUAACCAUAAAUAUUAGAACAUGAUAUCAACGAUUUGAACCGUUCAUUUUAUUUUUAUAAAUCUGCUAAAAGAUCAUGUUUAAAAAGAUUUGAAAAACAAAAUUCAAUGAGAAGAAUAAAGUGUAAACGAUAAUUGACGGUUAAGUCUAAAUCUAAGAUUUAUGGAUUAUAGUGCCAGAUUUCGGAGUUGACCCCUUCACAAAAGUUGUAAAGUUUGUCAUUAUGAGUAAUUGUAUAUUUUUUUUAUACAAUGAUUAUUAUGAAUUUUGCACUCAAAUAAAAAAUACUAUUCAUGAGGGGUAAUCUAAACAACGAUGUAACGAUCAUCUACGCGUGGAGGAUGUAAUCCCAAGCGUCUAUAUAUUCUUUCACCUUUUUACACUUGUACAUUAAUUAUUAUGAUUUUUUUAAUGUAUUUGGUAUUUUGGAUUAUUUUGAUAAUUUUUUUUUGUAUUUUACAAUAUUUUAAUUUCACUUUUAAGAAGAUAAAACAUUUAUGAGUAUGAGUGUAUGAGAGAGGUAAAAAAUUUUUGGGUAACAGAUCAAGUAAAAUUUAUAACAUUAAUGAUAAUAAGAAAAUCUCACAAUAAAAAUAAAUAAAUAAAACUUAAUUUUUUUUUAAAACUUAUCUAGAAUAAUAAUACAAUAAUACAUAUUUAAUAUACAAUAUAUACACUAUGGCUGUUGUAUUUUAUAGUAAAUUUUUUUUUUAGUAGUUUAACUUUAAAAGCAUCAAAAUAAUUUUUUUCUUAACAGUUAAAACGUGUUACCCACAUGUUACUUGAGUGUAAACCCGUUAAGGACUCGUUUUUAACGGGUGACCCGAUAAUGACUGACACACCCCGACUUGAAAUGUCCACUAGGACUCCGAAUCGAGCUGUGUUGGCUGACACCUGGAAGGUGACAAAGCCAUAAAGUAUAGUGAUGUGGAAAAUGUGAAUAAAUUUAAACCUAAAAGUGCCUAAAGACGAGUGCACUGUGAACGGGAAUGAACUCAUUUCACACGCGACGUCAAAGCAUAAGUAAAGAACAGUAGUGUGGGUAAGGAUCAUACCCUUAGAGGUAGCCACCUAUAUUGAGAUUCGCCAAGAAUCCUACCUUAGAGGUAGCCACCUAUACUGAGAUUCGUCCAUACGAACUUUCAGCAGUUAAAACCUAAAGGGGCGAAAAACAAGGGUGAGUGGUCCUGAAAAUAAAGUUUUACUAAAAACCUUUUGAAAACGUUAUAACUCAUCGCUGUAAAACCAUAUAGUUUCCAGAAAAUAAUACUACGUAUAUACGUAAAACAAUGCACAAAGACAGUAAAAACCAAGUAUGCCAUGUCAUAAUGUUUCAACGAUGAAAUAUGUAAGCCAUGUGUGAAAAUCAAGGUAAAAUAAUAUGCCAGCCGGAGUCACCUAAAAUGACCUAUACGGCUGAACCUAUAGCUUAUCAACCUAUGCCUGCACACGAGUCGGAACUACCUAAUAUGGUCUGUACAACAGGCUGGCUGUAAAUAAGUACACUCAAGUGCUACGAUCACGUGAAGGUUGUGCGAUGAAUCGUGGGUCACCUACGAGUUGGAACCAUCUAUUGUGGUCUGUAUGACAGGCUGGCAGCAGACUUGGAUCCAAGGUAAGCGUGCGGUGUAGGAGGUGAACGAUCACGUGAAGGUUGUGCCUUAGCCUCGGGCGGGAGCACUAACACCGGGGUGCAGGAUAAUGAACUCUAAGUGCAUCUAUGCAUAACAAUGUAAUGUAACUAGUCAUUCACAUACUAACUCACCUAAAGCUUACCUGAGCCUCCGCAACAUCAUUCCAUACAAUGCAUAAUAAUAGUAAUGAAAUACUAAAAAUAUAAUUCAUUCACGACAUGGCAUUCAAAGCAUAGUUCAUAUAAAACGUUUCUGGAAACCGUAAAACAUAUAUAUAUAUAUAUAUAUAUAUAUAUAUAUAUAUAUAUACACACACACAUUAUAAAAAGGAAGAAAACCCACUCACCUGGAGUCCGCGCUACAACUCCCAAGCACAAACAUCAAGGCAUCACGAACGAUCGAUACCUAGAACAAUUAUCAAACCACAUCUCAGAAUCCUUAUCAAUAGAACGCGUAACUUACAUAAAACACAUCCCUAAGAACAUUCUAGAAUGAUUCGAGACCCAUUGACCAAAAGUCAACCAUCGGUCAAAGAUCGAUGGUAGGGUCUACAACCCUACGUAACUCGAUCUGGAAGAUCCGUACCUUCCAAUCCGUAACUUCCAAAUAUCCACAUUAUGCUUCUAAAAAAUCAUACUAAAGUUUCAUUACGAUUCAACGGUUAGAUCUCCGCCAAUUGCCAAAACCAUGUGGCUGCCGACGUUUUAUUUUAUGAAUUUACAAAUCUAAUUCGGAAAGACUGGUAUGUCAGAUUCCCGAUCCAUAAAUUCCUAGGGUCCUCAAAUAUUACAUACUAUAAUGUAUUAAAGUUUGGUGACGAUCCAACGAUCGGAUUGUCGAUUACUAUUCUAAUCAAGUGGUGGACCUUAAUGGAACUAGGUUCAAAUGAUAGAAAUUCAUCAAUCAGACUUCACAAAUGGAAUCAGGGUAUUAAAAUUUAGCCUAGGAAGGUCAGGGGACGUCUCGGCCCACAAGUCGCCCCGACUUGCUGGAAAAUCAACUAUUUCCAAAAAUUACCAAAUUUUACAAACAAGUAGAUCUCAAUAAGGGGAACAAUUUUUAUACCUGUGGCCAAGUCCAAUUUGGCUAGGAAACUCCUAAAAUCUACAUCGAUCCGUCAGAAACCCUUGAAAUGGGUGUUCUUAAUUCGACUCCAAACAAGUUUUGACGCCUCAACCAUUGCUUGGGCUUUGUUCCUGGGGUUGAUGGGAGUCUAUUAGUGGUGCUAGUCGAUUGGAUUAACUUCAAAUUUUGGUGAUUCGAACCCAAAACCGCUGCACCCCACCGUGCGGGUUUUCCCAAUUUCAAUGCUAAAUCUCUUGAUUUUUGGGGUGUAAUAGGAAGGGGGGAAGAUCAUGAAGGGUUUUCCAAGUGGUGGUUUGAUAAAAUUCGCCAGAAAAAUGGACGAUUCAUUGUCGGAAAAUCUCCUAGAAACGGGUUGGGUCACGGGUUAAAGGGAGGGUCCAAUUUUCUCUUUCUUUUCUCCCUCAUUUCCCCUCAUUUCCUUUCCUCCUGAUUGGCUGGUUCUCUACCUCCUUUCUCUCCUUCUCAUCCUAGUGGUCCAUUUCUUCCUUCCCUUUUUUUUUUCCUUUCAUCCCAGCCACACACGUGUCAUUUCACAUGGCUUCAAAUUUUUUGGAACUUUCUAAAGAAGGUUAAAAUUACCAAAAUAUCCUAACUUUAAACAUUAAUAUCUCCUUUGUUAUAACUCCAAAUUACGUUCCAGUUGCGCCCACACGUUCGUAACGAGAAUAUUACAAGGAUAUGUCAAGAAAAUAGAUCUUACAUGACAUCUCAAGGCGGUCAAACAAAAUCAAUGCAUUUGCCUCGAAAGGCAUUUUCGUACAUUCACUUAUUAAAGUUAUAAAAAACCGUAAAAUUGGAAACGGGUCGUUACAAUGACUCGAUUAGUUAUCAUGUUGACUCGAAACCCGUUAUUUUUGUACUGUGUUAACGGAUUGUGUAAGAAACUAUUAGGUUUUAUAAUAACAUGCAUGCAUUUGUGUUAAAAUAUAUAAGAGAUUCCAUCACACACAAGGUUGAAUAAGAUAUUAGAAGAAAAAUGUUAAGGAACAUAUCUCAGAUUGAUUAUGUCAUUAUUGUAAUUUGAUACAUAGUUAUUUGCUUACUUAUUUAGUCUGAUUUCCCUUGUUUAUAGGCAUCAGUAUAGGAUUAUGAUUGUAUAGCCUCCUUAUAUAUUUGUAACCCUAGCUUUAUCAUAAUAGAAGAAAGAAUUAUAGCAGCUCUAUCUUUUCUAUGAUGGUACCUGAGAACUGAUCUGGGAAAUAAAGCAAAACACAAACACUACCCUUGCCAAUGCAGCCAUGGAUGACAAACCAAAAAAACAGUUAACCUCUUCAGGCAUGACUUCACACCUAAAGUGGGACAACCCUAACCACCCACUUUACCUUCAUUAUUAGGACCAGCCUGGUGUAGUCCUUGUACCACAUUAAUUGGUGGAGGACAAUUACAAUACAUGGGCUUAGUCCAUGAUCAUGGCCUUAACGGUCAAGAACAAGCUAGGACUCGUCGAUGGCACAGUCAAAAAGCCAAACGAAGACAAGCUUAAAGAAUUGCAGCAAUGGAACCAAUGCAAUAAUUUGGUGAAGACUCAUGACAUUAGGGUCGAUGUCAAAGGAAGUUUCAAGGAGUUUCAUCAACUGUAAAGAUGCUAGACAAAUGUGGCUCAACUUGCAGGAAAGAUUCUCUCAUGUGAACAUUGUCCAACUGUUUCACAUAGAGAAUGAGAUUCACGACUAUGUGCAAGGACUCAUGACAGUAAGUUCCUACUUCACUAAACUAAAAUGUCUCUGGGAUGAACGAGAUGUACUAUGUUCGAUUCCGGCAUGUAGUGGUGAAACAAAGGAGAUUGCUUCGUACGUUGAAACACAGAAGAUCAUGAAGUUUCUCAUGGGGUUGAAUGAUUCUUACGCCACCGUUCGCAGCAACACUCUUCUCCUUGAGCCAUUGCCCACAGUAAACAAAGCUUACUAAUUGGUUCUCUGCCAUGAACGACAGGUAGAAGUUUUUAUAGGGAAAAACAAUACUACCCAACUAGAAGCUGAGGCAUUCGCCAUGAAAACCACUAGCUGAAAAGCCGAAUCAGAGGACGGUGGACCUUGAUGUGGGAAGUGCAACAAGACGAAUCACACUACUAAAAAUUGUCGUGCUCAUUAAGAGUACCUUCUGUGGAUGGUAGGAUCAUUCUUUUGAUUUUUUCCGUAAGAGGAAGGCGGCCGCUGAGAGUGAAUAAAAUUAAUCUUUCUCUUCCAAAGGCAAUCAAGUUGCAACCCAUAACAAAAGGGAAGUGAUGCCUAACUUUCCUUUUUCCCAGGAGGAUUGCAAGUAAAUUCUCCAUAUGCUAAACAAGAACAAAUCAUCUUUUGCCAACCAAGUGGGUAAUUCUUCAAACCAUGAAGAACUUUUAGGUAAAGCUUUUUCUUUCACAUGCAAUGGCAAGAAAAAUGUUUGGAUUUUGGAUAAUGGGGCCACAGACUAUAUCGUUUGCAGUCUUGAUUCCCUUACAUCUUCAGGACCCAUUGAAAACCAUACUAUUGAAUUACCAAAUGGCUAAUUUGCUAAAGUUCCUCAUGUUGGACAAGUUGUUUUAUCUCCCAACCUUGUUCUUGAUAUCAUUUUGUGUGUACCACUCAUCACGUUAAACUUGAUAUCAAUUAGCAAUUAGCCUAUGACUCACUAUACAUCACAAUCUUUCUAUACCAAUUUUGUGUCAUACAGGACCUACGCUUGGGGAAAAUGAUUGGGAUGAGAAUUGAACGGGAGGGACUUUAUUAUCUUGACCCACCAAAGAAAGGAACAUGCAACACCGUCAAAACCCCACCUUCUAGCUUUUGGCACCAACAUCUUAGGCAUCCAUCGCAUAAAGUUUCUAUGUUAUUUCCAUUUUUCCAAAAUAAAUCUUGUGAUUCAAAUAAAUGUUUCAUUUUCCCAUUGGCCAAACAAACGAGACUACCGUUUUCAUUGAGUUCCAUAUCCACUAGGUCAUGUUUUAAGUUAAUCCAUGUUGAUAUUUGGGGUGGUUAUCAAGUUGCUUCCAUUUCAAGUGCAAAAUAUUUUCUCACCAUUGUUGACGAAUAUACUAGGACCACAUGGAUUUAUUUGAUGAAACACAAAUUUGAUACAAUAGAAUUCCUUGUCCAAUUCAUCCACAUGGUAGAAAAUCAAUUCAAUACUAAGGUCAAAAUGGUUCAAAGUGACAAUGGUCCCGAGUUCAAACUUGACACUUUCUAUAAUAUCAAGGGAAUUGUCCAUCAAAUUAGUUGCAUCAACACACCACAACAAAAUGGUGUCGCUAAACGUAGGGAUCGACACUUGCUAAAUGUUGCUCGUGCCUCACUUUUUCAAGCUAAUCUUCCUAAACGUUUUUGGGGGGGGGAUGCAAUCUUAGCUUCUGCCUAUGUCAUAAAUCAAACACCCACACCCAUUCUUCAAGGAAAACACCAUAUGAAAAAUUGUUUCAUAAGGAACCAAAUUACUCUCACCUACAAGUUUUUGGAUGUUUGUGUUUUACAUCAACUCAUGCACAAAAACGUUACCCUCCAAAAGGUUUUUGUGUCAUAGGAUGUUUUUUUUUUUUUAAGAUCAAUUUCCCUACCACACCUCAGACAUUUCUGCUGUCCCCAAAUCCUUGCUCAAUACAAAAUCCUCACCAUUGCACUUAGAUAUGGACUCUCAGGGUCAUCUCUGAGAUUUUGAGGGCCCUGUGCGAAAUUUAUAAAAGCGCCCCUUCUUAAGAUAAGUCUAAAAAAUGUAGGACAAUGUAUUGACGCUAGAAAACAAUCACUUAAAUCAAAACAAAGCUUAGCACUCACUGAUUGCAAGUUUAAAAAUGUAAUUAAUAAUAAGUAAAAAGAGUUACAAACAUAACAUUCACUAAAUAAUCAAAAGUAGUUCAAUCUUAAACAACCAAACAAGAAAACAAACUUCAAAAACUCUAACUUUAAAGUUUCACUUGAAUAUGUAACAUUAUUAUAUAAUAAUAUUGAAAAAAAUACCGUCUUUAUGGUGUAUUAUUGGCACUCGAAAUAUCUUAUUGUACUAUAAUUUUUUGUAUUUAGAAGAAAAAAAAUUACGCUUAUAAGAAGUGUAAGAUGAGAUUUUAAAGUGCUAACAAAAUCAAUUUUUGAAUAUAGAACAUUAUUUCAUAACAAUAGCAAUUUUAAAUAUAGAAUAUUAUUAAAUAUAAAUAUUAGGUGACAAAAUGUUUUGGGACCCCUUCAAAUUUGGGGCCCUGUGUGACUGCACCUUUCGCACCCCCUCAACGCACCGUCUGACUCUUUCCCUCCCACCAUUCCUCAAGUCAUCACAUCUGACAACUUAUCUUUUGAAUCCCAUGCCACCCCACAAACACCAGAAAUAUCGCAGCCACCUUUAUAACCGUCUUAAAUACCGAACAAGAUCUUGCCUUCUCCAGAAACACCACCUACUGCUCUUAUUUCCUUAGCACCCACUAACACCCCGCCCAGGCCUGCACCUACACCUUUACCACCCCGUCGCGGUACACGUUCCACAAAGCUUUCCUCAUUUUUGUAAGACUUUCACGUCGAGACCUCUCUCCCGUCAAGGCAUGCUCCGACAUCUUCAACAAACAUGGUUACGUCAUCAGGUACCUCUCAUCCACUCUCUCACCACUUAUUGUAUACUCGUCUUUCACCCCACCAUAAAAUCUAUAUAGCUAACCUCACAGUCAUUAAAGAACCCACAAGAUUUUAGCAGGUUGUUUGAGACCUACAUUGGCAUACUGCCAUGCAACAUGAGAUUGCAGCUCUUCAGGCAAAUCACACUUAGUUUCUUGUGUCGUUGCCACUCCAAACAACCCAUUGGAUGCAAAUGAGUCUAUAAAGUGAAGCUAAAACCUGAUGGGACAAUAGAGAGGUACAAAACACAGCUGGCUGCGAAGGAUUAUAGCUAGAUAUAAGGGGUUGAUUACAGGGAAACCUUUGCCCUCAUGGCCAAAUUGACCACUAUCUGUGUGCUUCUUAGUGUGGUAGCCUUGCGAGGAUGGCACUUGCAUCAACUAGACGUCAACAAUGCCUUUUUACAUGGUGACCUAGACGAGGAAGUUUACAUGAUCUUGCCUCCUGGAUUCGGAUGAAAGGGGGAGACUCGAGUAUGUAAAUUAAACAAAUCCCUAUACGGUCUAAAACAAGCUUCGUGGCAAUGGUUUCUUAAACUAUCCAAUGCACUCAAGGCUGCUGGGUUUCACUAGUCAUGGUCUAACUACUCACCGUUUGUCCGCCGUCAUCAAGGUAAUUUUAUCGCCUUUUUGGUUUAUGUUGAUGAUGUAAUACUAGCAGGCAAUAAUUUGCAAGAAAUCGAAGAGACCAAGUAGUUCCUUUCCAAACGUUUUAAACUGAAGGACUUGGGUAAGCUCAAAUAUUUCUUAGGGAUAGAGGUUGCACGAUCAAAACAUGGGAUCUUUCUAUGCCAAUAGAAAUAUGCAUUAGACAUAUUGGAUGAUGUUGGGUUCUUAGGUGCCAAACCUUCACGAUUUUUGGUUGAUCAAAACAUCUCUCUAACACAAACGGAAAAGAAGCUACUCAGUGAUGCAUCUCCAUACAAACGGCUUGUAGGUAGACUAAUCUACCUAACCAUAACAAGGCCUGACCUAGCCUAUGUGGUUCAUAUGUUAAGUCAAUUCAUGGAAAAACCUCGACAACCACACCUUAAGGCAGCAUAUAAGGUCCUUAAAUACAUCAAAAAUGCACCUAAGCAAGGUAUCCUCCUGCCUUCUAUGGGCACAUUACAAUUGAAGGCAUUUUGCGAUGCCGACUGGGCUAGAUGCAAGGAUACCAGAAGGUCGAUAACAGAUUAUUAUGUUCUUCUUGGUCAAGCAUCGAUUUCCUGGAAAACAAAGAAACAAACUACCGUAUCUCGCUCCAAUGCAGAGGUUGAAUAUCGUUCUAUGGCCACUACAUGUUGCGAGAUUACAUGGUUGAAGAAUAUCUUGAACGAUAUGAGGGUGAGUCACCCACAACCAGUCAUGUCGUUUUGUGAAAAUCAAGCGGCACUACAUAUUGCUUCGAAUCCCAUAUUUCAUGAACGCACAAAGCAUAUAGAGAUCGAUUAUCACCUAGUAACAGAGAAAGUCCGAGGAGGGAUGAUAUGUGCAGCUUACAUACGAACAAUUGAUAAGGUAAUUGACAUAUUCACAAAGCCAUUGAGUUGGACAUAGUUUGAGACAUUACUCAGCAAGUUGGGUGUCAAUAACAUACACUCCCACUUGAGGGGGAGUGCUAAGGAAGUUAUCUCAGAUUGGUUAUGUCAAUAUUGUAAUUUGAUAUAUAGUUAUUCGCUUACUUAUUUAGUCUGAUUUCCCUUGUUUAUAGGCAUUAGUAUAGGAUUAUGAUUGUAUAGCCUCCUUAUAUAUUUGUAACCCUCGAAAUCUGCGUGGUUUCUUCUGCUAUAUCUCUUUAGCUAGUUAUCUGCAAUAUACGUGCACGCCAUACAUUUCUUAAUUUUUUCGCUAUAUUACCAACUAGCUAUUAGCGUAUUUUUCCUGCUAUCAACUUACGUGCACAUUUCUACUUUUCGUUUUCUCCAUAUAUAGUUGCACAAGUAUUUUGUUGUCUUCAAACUAGCACAUUUCUGGGUUUUGUGCUUUCAUGACUCUCCAUACUUGCUCCUACAUCUUUCUUACUACACAAUUAAGCAUACAAUUGAGUUUCAUUAAUUACUGGCUUAAGUGGUUGAACAAUAGAGAAAGUUUGAUUUGGACAUACUACGUCACCAUGGCCAUCAAUUGUUAACUGGUUCUUUAUCCAUGACAUUGACAAAAUAACAAAUGAAUUUUUUUUUCAUUUUUUUAUUAGCAUUCUGCUUAUUGUUUGAUACACUCCAUAUAAAAAUUAAUUAUUCCAACUUAUUUAGCCUAAGACGUAUUUAAGCCAUAUUAUUAUAACUAAUUCAUUGUGUAGCUUAGCUCAAUCCCUCAUUCAUUAGUGUAAAUAAUAUCGUUGUAUUACAACCAAAUGACUUAUAUAUCUCAAUAUAAAAUGAUAACUUAAGCCCCACAAAACUUACAAAAAUAAAAUUAUAUUUAUAAACGCAACCCAAAUUAUGUUCAAUGUAUCUUAUUUUUCUUCAAGCUCUACUUCUUGUUACAUAGUUGUCUAGUCAAUGCUGACCCAACGGAAAAAUGCAAUUACCAAAUCUGCAUUUUGAAAGCCAACCAAUUCGACACCUUCAACACAAAUAAAUCAUGGCAACCGACAUCUUUGAUUGAAUCAUGUCUACCCAACAACAUUUAAGUGACGUUGGCGACUUGGCAUAGUUCAUACAUCAAUACUAAAACCCCUAAUUAACAGAAACCCCCAAAUUGAACACUAGACGCAAACCUAGGUUUACAGAAAAAUCUAAGAAUUAUUUAGGCUAAUGAUAUGGAAAUUGAAUAGAAAUGGGAGGAAAAUUUCGUUUCUCUUGUGAUGAGAUGUUUCAUAUUCAUGUUUGGGAUUAUUCAUCCGUAUUCGUUAGAUGUUUGAUUAGUGUUCCUGUAUUUACUUAAUACUCGUAUUGACUAGUUCUUUAUAACUAGUUUUUAUUAUAGUACAUGACAAUGACUAAUUGAUAAAGUCAUGUGUUUGGUUAGUACUAGUGUUUAUGCAUUUACUUAAUACACAAAUUAUUUAAUAGUUAUAUGUACUUAAAUAGGAUAUAUUCUUUGUUUUUUGGUUGCAUACUUAAUUGUUAGAUGUUAAAUAUAUUAAAUAAAUGUCACUUAGUAUUACGGUUUAGUGAUAUUUCUCUUCACUUGUAAAUGAGAGAUCUUAGGUUCGAUUCUCGCCAAAGGCGAAUUUGAACCAUAUUAUUGCUAGCUCAUUGUGAGGCUAAGUUCACCCCCUCUCCUUAGUGUGUGUGUGUGUGUGUAUAUAUAUAUAUUAGAUAAAUGUGUGUACCAUAGUUAGUCCCAUAUUGUUGUCUCUCUAUUUCCAAAGAAAACAAAAGGUUGAAACGAAGAGGUGGAAAUAUGAUGAGGGACCAUUUGCACCAAAUCUUUUUUCAUUUUGGUUGUAUUCUUUUUGUUUAUUUUCCGAGUAUAGUUUGACUUUAACAAAAAAAAAUACAAGUUGUCUUUUUGGUUUUUUCCACCAUAAGACCAACUCCACCCCUUAGAGUAAAACCUAUAAUUUCCUUAUAUUCCCCCUCCCAAUCCUUUCCAACCCUAGUUCUAAUUUGAAGUUAGAAGCUAAAACCGGAAAAAAAUACCAGAUUCCGGCCAAGAAAUAGCCCAAAGAAAUGUGUGGGGUCCACCAGUGAGAGUGGAAAUGGGCGCUUGAAUGCCAGACGCAAAGGUCGGACGCUCACAUGGGAGCAACGCGCCAAGGGCAGGCAACGGCAUGGCCCAACCCACAUGGGCAUGUCAGCCACUUGCGUCAGCAAGUAACAACUACUUUUUUUAUCGAACAGCUUGAAUCAAUUGGGCCUUUGGAUCAAUUUUUUUUUUCAGUUUUAUAUUUAUAUAUUUAUUGAAUCCAACAACUACUUUUUUUACCCAGUUUCCGACGAGUUUUUCAGUUUUGCCACUGACCAGUUACCUUUCAAGCUAUUUUCCGGCAACCAUUGGGCUUCCAACAGGUAUAUCUUGUUCUACACUUUCCUAUCUUUAUUUUGAUAUAUUAUGGGUUGAAUUUGGUUCAGAAAUGAUUGAGUUACGAAGCUUUGAAAAUUGCCCAAACUUCCGGCCAAGAGCUCUGGGACACUUAACGGAGGUUUUAACGGAAUGAACAUAAUAAUGGAUGGUGGAUAAACUCAGGGACCAUUUCUACUGAUUUUCAAUCUCAGGGACCAAAGUGAUGUGUUAUGCAAAUCUCAAGGACUAUUUUAGCUAAAAGCCUAAAAAAAAUUAUUUAACUCAAAAUUCAUCUAAAAACUCUAUAAAUACCUAUGUAUUUAUUCAAACAUUCACACAAAACUCACUUUUCUCCUACAAUUCUUCCAAUUUUCUUUCUACCAUUUCUUUGCAUUUUCAAAAUUUUCAAGGUGGCAAAAGAUCAUAUUAGAGGUCGUAAUUGGACCUUUAAGGAAGAUGUUGCUUUAUGCUUGGCAUCAGUUUCUAUUAGCGAAGAUAGUGCCGUUAGCACAAAUCAAAAUAAAAAGGUUUUGUGGGGUAAAUCAUUGAUAAGUUCAAUGAAAACUCCAACGCUGGCCGAAUGGAAGGUGGUGGCGUUUACGAUCAGUGGAAGGUUAUCAACAAAGCGUGCACUUUAUGGAAGAGAAGCUUGAAGAGAGCCGUGGUUGACAUGGCUAGUGGAAGGAGUGCCACAGAAGUUGUGAGUUUCUUUGUUGAAAUUUUAUUUAUCAUGUACAUAAUAUUAUUUUGCAACUAAUUGUUUUUAUGUAUUUCUUGCAUAGGGUGACAAAGCAAUGACAAUUUACAAGAUAAGAACUACACCAAAAAAAUCAAGCUUUUAAGUUGCAUCAUGCUUGGAACAUUCUCAAGGAUUGUCCGAGGUAGGGAAUUGAUGCGGACCAACAAUGGAGAAAAUUAUUUGGUAGUGAAGCUGCACAGACAAAUUAUGUCAAUAUUAGCUUUAGGUGGCGGAUAUUAGAAACAUCAUAUCGGAUAAAUUAUAUUCGACACAUCAUUUAAUUAGUGGCGGAUAUUAGAAAAAUCCUGUCGGUUAUAUCCGACAUAAAUUCCUAGCGGAUAUUUAUUGGCGGAUAUCAAAAAUAUCUUGUCGAUUAUAUCUGACACUAUUUUUUAAUCCUUUUUUUUUUUAAUAUUUUUGACAGACUCUGAUGGUUUUUAAGUUAAUGGUAGCGGUUAUAACCGACAAAAUUUGACUAUUUUAUUAUUUUACUUUCUGGCGGUUAUUAUUUUAGUAUUAUGGCGGUUAUAACCGACAGAAAUAAAAAUUUUAUUAUUUUAAAAUAUUAUAUUGAUUAUAAAUAAAUAAAUAAACACAUUUUUAAAAUAAUAUUUUUUUUCACUCAUGACUCUAUAGUCUAAUGAACCCAAUUCCCACAAGCCAUAAACUUUCUGAGAGAAUAAUAACAACAUACUACAAUCUGAAGCUCUACCAUUUUUGUAAUAAGGAUUAUGCUCCUCUCAUAGGCAAGCAAGAUACGAAGAAAUUCAAACAAUUUUUUUCAAUCCGUCAUAAAGCACAUUGUCUGGCACAUAAACAUACAUGAACAUCUAGUGUACUCUACCAUGUCUGAUUAUAUUAUUUUAAAAUGUUAUGUUGAUUAAAAAUAAAUAAAUAAACACAUGUUUUAAAUAUUUUUUUUUCACUCAUGGCCCUAUCGAAUAUAACCGACAUGAACAAAGCAAAAUUUUGGACGGUUCUCUGAAUGUUAUUUUUUUGCGAUUUUUUACACAUGCUAUCUCGGAGUAUAUACAAAUAUAUUUAACAGUUGGAUCGUUGAAAGAAUGCAUAACCUGUCAAAUUGAUAGAUUUAACAAACAUUUAAGAGUUAAUGUUAUACUUCCAUGAAGUAUAAAAUUUUUAAAUUGAAGAUGAAAUUCAUUCAUUGCAUUCUUAUAGGGUCGAAGAGUGUAGCUAUAAAAAAUGAUCAAAAUCAGAGCUAAAAUAAUCGUUAAAUUGUGAUUUUUCGUUUAUAACCAUGGAAAACUUUUGUUCCGUUACCUAAUAUCUGAAUGUUUGUUUUUUGCGAUUUUGUACAUAUGCGAUCUCGGAGUGUGUACAAACAAGUUUGACGGUUGGAUCGUUGAAAAACGUUUUGUAGCAUGCGUAUCACAUCAAAACAAUAGAUUAAACAAACACGAGUUAAUGUUAUACUUCCCCAUCAAGUAUAAAAUAAGAUUUUGUGGUAUCCACUAGUUUAAAUAUUUUAAAUUAAAGAUCAAAUUUAUUCAUUACAUUCUUAUAGGGUCGAGGAGUGUAGCUGUAAAAAAUCAUCACAAUCGGAGCUAAAAUAACCAUUAAAUUGUGGUUUUUCAUUUUUAACCGUCGAAAUUUUUUGUUCCGUUACGUAAUCUUUGAAUGCUUGUUUUUUACGUAUGUAAUCUCGGAGUGUGUAUAAAUAAGUUUGACGAUUGGAUCGUUGAAAAAAGUUUCGUAGAAUGCAUAUUGCGUCAAAACAGUAGAUUAAACAAACACUUAAGAGUUAAUAUUAUACUUCUAUUAAGUAUAAAAUAAGAUUUUGUGGUAUCCACUAGUGUAAAUAUUUUAAAUUAAAGAUCAAAUUUAUUCAUUACAUUCUUAUAGGGUAGAGGAGUGUAGCUGUAAAAAAUCAUCAAAAUCAGAGCUAAAAUAAUUGUUAAAUUGUGAUUUUUCGUUUAUAACCAUCGAAAACUUUUGUUCCGUUACGUAAUAUCUGAAUGUUUGUUUUUUACAAUUUUUUACGUAUGUAAUCUUGGAGUGUGUACAAAUAAGUUUGACGGUUUGAUCAGUAGUUUCGGGAUUGGUCAAGUAUGGUACAAACAGUGGUCCCCUAAGUUCCCGAGUGAGGGAAGCUCAUCGGUUGGGGACUUGCAAGAUCCAAGCCAUUGAGUAAUCACGAAACUUCUAAGUACUGAAGUGUGGUAUCAUUUUUACUUACCUUAUCUGUCUCAUACGGUAGAUGUGGUAUCUUCUCUGGAAGUACUUUUCCUCCAUCCAUGGGUGGUAUCUUUAAUCGAUGAAGAUGCACAAGGUAAUGUAUCAAUUUUACUUGAAGCUUACUUGUAGUUUCGGGCUUGGUCAAGUGCGAUACAAAACCCUAUAGUAGGAGUCCCCCAAGUCGCCGAGCUAGGAGAUUUGCCGAAAGAGGUAACAGACAAGGUAAGCAAUCAGACUUCCAAGCAAGCAACCUGGAUCGGAGGUUUGACUUCGGCUUCCGGUUGAUUGUUCUCUUUCUCAUUGUGUCGUAAACAGCAACAAGGAUAAGGAGAAGCAAAUGGAGAAGAGAUGAUAUGAGAUACUUUUGCUUUUGAAGAAGUAACUUUCCACAGGCUUAUUCUUGAAUUGGGCUGGAGGGUUUUCUGGUUUCCUCCAGAGUAUAAGGCCGACUCAAGAAUUUGAGGGUCAAAACAAGUCCAUCAAAUCAAGAGUGCGUUCAACCUUGAUGAUAUGGGAUACUUUUGUUGUUGACGAAGUAAUAAAUGAAUCGGCAUGUGUUCUGUUGUGCUUGUCUCCACAUGCUUCCUUGUAUCCUUCUCACUCGCCCUAUCUGUUCCUCAGACAUAUGUGGUAUCUUUUCUGGAAGCAUAAGAUGUUGAAGAUGAGUACUCGAGAGCAAUGCCAGGUAAGUAAUUAGGCAAGGGGUUCCAGGCAGUCAGUUCCUGACUGGAAGCUUGAUUCCAAGUGCUGACUGAUUGCUCUUUUUCUCCUUGUCUUGCAGGUAAGAAUAAGGGCAAAGGAAAAGACAGGGAGAAAGCAUGAUAUGGGAUACUUUUACUUUUGACCCUGAUGAUAUGAGAUACUCUUGCUCUUGUGUGGCUGGUUUGCAUAGGUAUUAUUAGGAGGGAAGAAAGCUGAGUAUUUUGAGAGGCUUCAUUGGGAGUGCCCUCUCAGAUAUGAGGAAGGGUUGAGCAUUUUUGCAAGUUUGCCUGUCCGUGGAGGAUGGAGGUCGACAUAUAUAGGAGUCUCCCUAACAACAAAUAGUAAUGCUAUUCCUUUACCCUUCUUGGUCGUAGAAAUGUAGUGGGAGCUGCAAGCUUCACGUGUUUUAACUUUAUUAGAGCACUUUGAAAAAGUGUGGUAUCUGGAAAGAUGAUGUUGCGUGUGAAGAUUGCAGACAAGCUUUAUCCAAGGAAAUCUGGCUCUCGAAGUUCGGAGAGCGAUGCCUCUUCGGUUUUCGAACAAGCAAUCUUGUCGGGGAUCUGGCUCUCUAGAUUCGGUGGGCGGUGCCUCUUCGAUUUUUGAGAAAGCAAUCAUGUUGGAAGUCUGGCUCUUGAGAUUCAAAAAGCGGUGCCUCUUCGAUUUUUGAGAAAGUAAUCUUGUUGGGAGUCUGGCUCUCGAGAUUCGGAGGGCGGUGCCUCUUCGAUUUUUUAGCAUGUAAUAAUGCUAUUCCUUUACCCUUCUUGGUCAUAGUAAUGUAGUGAGAGCUGCAAGCUUCACAUGUUUUAACUUUGUCAGAGCGCUUUGAAAAAGUGGUCUGUGGUAUCUGGAAAGCUGAUGUUGCGUGUGAAGAUUGCAGACAAGCUUUAUCCAAGGAAAUCUGGCUCUCGAAGUUUGGAAAGCGGUGCCUCUUCGAUUUUUGAGAAAGCAAUCUUGUUGGGAGUCUGACUCUUGAGAUUCGGAGAGCAGUGUCUCUUCGAUUUUUGAGAAAGUAAUCCUGUUGGGGAUCUGGCUCUCGUGAUUCGGAGGGCGGUGCCUUUUCAAUUUUUGAGCAAGCAAUCUUGUUAGGAGUGUUUUCUCGAAUGUAAGUAAAGGUUGGGCAUUUUUGCCAGUCUGCCUUGCCACGGAGCACGGAGGUUGACACACAUUGAGACUUUCUAGUUAUCAAGCAGUGGUGCUGUUCCUUUACCCUUAUGGGUAAUAGUAGGGUAAUUGGACCUUCAAAAUUUAUGUGUCUAAACUUUGUCAGAGAUCUUUGGCAAAUUUAUCUGUGGUUCCCGAUGAGGUGAUGUUGUGUGUGGAAAGUGGUGUCUCUUCGAAAUCCGGAGAGUGGUGCCUCUUCGAUUUUUGAACCAACGGCCCUGUUGCCCUUUCUUUUAUAAGGGUACCAAUUGUGUGCAAAGAGUACAUUCAGAGAGUUAUUGCUUGUAGGAAUUUUCCCCCUUAAAGAUUUAUUGCACCUCAUUUCUCCUUCAUCAUUUAUGAGAAUGUCUGGCCCAUCCGACCGUCGUUUUGACUUGAACUUUGGUGAAGAGGAAGCCAUGCCUUCUCAAGACAACAUAUGGCGCCCAUCCUUCUUAUCCCCUACUGGUCCUCUUACCGUUGGGGACUCUGUGAUGAAGAAUGAUAUGACCGCUGCGGUGGUGGCCAGGAACCUUCUUACUCCCAAAGAUAACAGACCACUUUCCAAACGGUCUGAUGAGUUGGCUGUUAAGGAUUCUCUGGCUCUCAGUGUUCAGUGUGUAGGUUCUGUGUCUAAUAUGGCCCAACGCCUAUUUGCUCGUACCUGCUAAGUUGAAUCAUUGGCGGCUGAAGUGAUAAGUCUCAAAUAGGAGAUCAGAGGGCUCAAGCAUGAGAAUAAACAGUUGCACAGGCUCGCACAUGGCUAUGCUACAAAUAUGAAGAUGAAGCUCGACCAGCUACAGGAAUCUGAUGGUCCGAUUUUACUUGAUCAUCAGAGGUUUGUGGGUUUGUUCCCAAGGCAUUUAUUACCUUCGUCUUCUGGGGCUGUUCCGCAUAAUGAAGCUCCAAAUGAUCAACCUUCGGUGCCUCCUCCUUCUGGGGUUCUGCCUAGUACUGAGGCUUCGAAUAAUCACCCUCUGGUGUCUCCUCUUUCUAGGGCUCUGCUGACUGCUGAGACUUCUCCUGAGCAACCUUUGUGAAGGCUCCAUCUUGUUUGUUUAUUUUGAUUCAUGUACAUGUACAUAUUUGUAACUUAUCGAAGAUAUCAAUAAGCAAGCUUUGCUUCAUUUCAACGUAUUGUGUUAAAUACACCAAGGCCUUCUUCACUAAGUUCUUUGAAUUUUUCCUUUUGUUGAAGCUUGUAUGUUGAAGCUUUGUGAGUGAAGCAUGUAGGUUGAGGUAGUGCUCCCUUAAUUUCCCGAGUGUGUAAAACUUCUCGUUUGAAGACUUGAAAAAUCCAAGUCACUGAGUGGUCAUGUGACUUCCAAGUAUCAAGGUGCAGUAGCAUAUGGUAAGAGUCCCCCAAAUCUCCGGUCGAGGGAGUUGACGAAUGAGGCAUUUCCUUUCUAAGUGGUAGCCCAAAACUCCUUCUUCAUAUAUUUGUUAUGAAAGCUGUUAGGCCCAAAGAAGAGGAGGCCUAGGCAAUUUUUUUUUUUUGAAUUUUUUUUUUUUUAUUUUUCGAAUUUUCGAAUUUUCGAAUUUUUGAAUUUUCAAAUUUCCGAAUAAAUAGAAUUUUCGAAUUUUCGAAUAUAUAUAUAUAUAUAUUUUAAAGCUUUGUAGGUGAAGUUUUGGUGUUGAAGCUUUGUAGGUGAAGCUUUGAGAUUAAAGUUUUGUUGGGCACCAUGAAUUGAUUUUGCUUCACACUAUCUUGAUCAAGAUAGUGUGAAGCUUUUGUGUUGAAGCUUUGUAGGUGAAGCUUUUGUGGGUCAAGUUUUUAUGGGUCAAGCUUUUGUAUGUGAAGCUUUUGUGGGUGAAGCUUUUAUGGGUGAAGCUUUUGUGGGUGAAGCUUUUGUAGGUGAAGCUUUUGUGGGUGAAGCUUUUGUAAGUUAAGCUUUUGUGGGUCAAACUUUUAUGGGUCAAGCUUUUGUAGGUCAAGCUUUUGUGGGUCAAGCUUUUAUGGGUUAAGCUUUUGUAGAUGAAGUUUUUGUGUUGAAGCUUUUGUAGGUGAAGCUUUGGAGUUGAAGCUUUGUAGGUGAAGCUUUGGAGUUGAAGAUUUUGUUGGGUACCAUGAAUUGAUUUUGCUUCACACUAUCUUGAUCAAGAUAGUGUGAAGCUUUUGAGAAUUUGUAGUUGUCCUCCGUUGAUGAAGCUUUGUUGAAUUUCCCUUUUUUUUCUUUUUUUGGGAAACUAGAAAUUUGAAAAUGUGGGAGUGACAACAUAUACAAAUUUUGCUUCCACACUGUUGAGCAAGAGAUUGUGAUGCAAGCCACACCUUGUAGUAGUCGAAGGUUUGGAUGAACCAUAUAAAUUGAAUUUGCUUCGAAGGUCUGAGAAUUAUAGUUGCCCUCCAUUGAUGAAGCUUUUGUUGGCACCAUAAAUUGGUUUUGCUUCACACUGUCUUGAUCAAGAGUGUGUGAAGCUUUUGAGAAUUAUGGUUGAACUCCUUUGAUGAAGCUUUUGUUGGCACUAUAAAUUGGUUUUGUUUCACAAUGUCUUGAUCAAGAGUGUGUGAAACUUUUGAGAAUUAUGGUUGCCCUCCAUUGAUGAAGCUUUUGUUGGCACCAUAAAUUGGUUUUGCUUCACACCGUCUUGAUCAAGAGUGUGUGAAGCUUUUGAGAAUUGUGGUUUGCCCUUCAUUGAUGAAGCUCUUGUGGGCACCAUAAAUUGGUUUUGCUUUAUACUGUCUUAAUCAAGAGUGUGUGAAGCUUUUGAGAAUUGUGGUUGCCCUUUAUUGAUGAAACUCUUGUUGGCACCGUAAAUUUGUUUUCCUUCACACUGUCUUAAUCAAGAGUGUGUGAAGCUUUUGAGAAUUGUGGUUGCCCUCCAUUGAUGAAGCUUUUGUUGGCACCAUAACUUGGUUUUGCUUCACACUGUCUUGAUCAAGAGUGUGUGAAGCUUUUGAGAAUUGUGGUUGAACUCCUUUGAUGAAGCUCUUAUUGGCACCAUAAAUUGGUUUUGCUUCACACUGUCUUGAUCAAGAGUGUGUGAAGCUUUCUACGAGUUGUAGUGUUACAGAGGGGAAAUGUUUGAAGUAGAUGUAAGAGGGCUGAAUAACUUGACCUUCGUAUGCCAUACACUAAAGUUGUUGUUGGCUUGCAAUAAGACUUUGUUGGUGACUAUAACUCUUGUUGGGCAUAAGUGCUCCCCUAGUUGAGUUGUCAAGCUUGAGGGUUUUUGAUUAUUUGUGAAUGCUAAGAGUUCACAUGUACAAGUUGUACCACUCGUCUUCUGGUAGGUGGAAUGAAUGGUGAGUUACUUUCAUCACUUGGUUGGUGGUACGAAGGUGAGUUCCUUCAUCACCUUUCAUCACAUUUCAUCACCUGGUUGGUGGCACGAGGAUGAGUUCCUUCUUCCCCUGGUUGGUGGCAUGAAUGGCAAGUUGCCAAAUGAUAUUAGAGUACGGAUUGUACAUUUCAUCACCUGUUUGGUGGCAUGAAGAUGAGUUCAUUCUUCACCUGGUUGGUGGCAUGAGUGGCAAGUUGCCAAAUGAUAUUAGAGUACGGGUUGUACAUUUCAUCACUCGGUUGGUGGCAUGAAGAAGAGUACGGGUUGUACAUUUCAUCACCUAGUUGGUGGCAUGAAUGGCAAGUUGCCAAAUGAUAUUAGAGUACGGGUUGUACAUUUCAUCACCCGGUUGGUGGCAUGAAGGAAAGUACGGGUUGUACAUUUCAUCACCUGGUUGGUGGCAUGAAGAUGAGUUCCUUCUUCACCUGGUUAGUGGCAUGAGUGGCAAGUUUCCAAAUGAUAUUAGAGUACAGGUUGUACAUUUCAUCACCUGGUUGGUGGCAUGAAUGAGAGUACGGGUUGUACAUUUCAUCACCUGGUUGGUGGCAUGAAGAUGAGUUCCUUCUUCACCUGGUUGGUGGCAUGAGUGGCAAGUUGCCAAAUGAUAUUAAAGUACGGGUUGUACAUUUCAUCACCUGGUUGGUAAGAAUAAGGGCAAGGUGUCUAGGCACAUUGUAGCAAGUGUCGGAUGACGCAAAAUAUGUUGAACCCUUUCAAAGCAUAGUUAGCUUAUGUAUGAAUGUGUUGGAAUAUAUGAUUGAACGAAUAUACUAUGAAGCUGUUCGUUUAUUUGUAUAGUCUUGUUGACAUAUACUUAGACUUUGUUUCAUGUUGGAAGCAUUCAUGUUGAAGCUUUGAACCCGAGUGUUUCAUUGCUAGGAAUGUAAAAGGAUUAAGAUUGAGUUGUUUGAAUCACCUCUUUAUGGAAUUCAUGCCAAAUAGUCUUCGUUACAUAGGAUGCUGAACAGCUGAAGCUUAACACUUGUACAAUGUGAGUUUACUUGUAAUAGUACUUCAAGUGAUCAGCGUUCCAUGGAUGGCCAAGGGUCUUGCCAUUGGAGCUUCUAAGCUUGUAGGAGCCAGGGCGACUGAUGCCAACAACUUCAAACGGUCCAUCCCAGUUUGGACUAAGUGUUCCUUCACUCGGGACUCUGUCACAGAGUAAUCUUUUCUUCAAUACCCAGUCCCCACUUUGAAAGAACGAGGUUUCACCCUUGAGUCAUAGUAGUUGGAGAUGCGCUGUUUGUAGGCGACAUUCCUCAAGUGAGCCUGGUUUCUGUGUUCCUCGACUAGAUCUAAGUUGAGGGUAAGUUGUUUGUCAUUUUCGCUUUGCACAUAGUUCUGGACUCGGAACGUUGCUUGCUUAAGCGCAACUGGGACAACUGCCUCUGUACCAAAGGCAAGUGAGAACGGGGUUUUUCCUAUUGAUGUCUGAUACGAAGUGCGGUAUGACCAAAGAACUUGGGGUACAAAUUUUGGCCAACAACCUUUAGCCUUGUCUAAGCUGGUUUUCAAAGUUCGCUUGAUUAUUUUGUUGAUGACUUUAACUUGUCCAUUAGACUGAGAAUGAGCUGGGUAGGCAAAACAUAAGUUGAUGUUGAACUUAGAGCAGAACAUCCUGAACUUAUUAUUGUCGAACUGUCGCCUGUUGUCAGUGACUAUCGCAUUGGGAAUGCUGAAUCUGCAAAGGAUGUUCUUCCAUACGAAGUCUUCUAUUUUUGCCUCAGUAAUGGUUGCCAAAAGUUCUACUUCGGCCCACUUUGUGAAGUAGUCAACUGCAAUGAUUGCAUAGCGAACCUUGCCCUUCCCUGCAAGCAUUGGGCCGAUCAAAUCAAGUCCGCAUUGGGCGAAGGGCCAAGGGUUGAUCAUACGAGUUAACGGCUCGGGAGGGGAGUAAGGAAUAGUUGCGUAACGUUGACACUUAUCACAUGAGCGGGAUAUUCUGAUGGCAUCUUGGUGGAGUGUUGGCCAGUAAUAUCUUGGCGAAAAGCCUUGUGUGCUAGGGAUCGAGAUCUAGCAUGAUCUCUGCAGACUCCUUCAUGUAUUUCCCGAAGGACAAUUUCUGCCUUUGCGGGCAUAAGGCAUUUUAGGUAUCGAACCCGCCAAGUUGAAUCAGUAAGGCUCUAGAUGUCUUUUGAAGUUACCGGUUCCUUCAUGUCGAUGAUUACUUUGAUCUUCUCAGGAUUAGCCUCAAUGCCUCGUUGGCUUAUCAUGAAGCCUAAGAAUUUGCCAGAGCCUACGCCGAAGGCACAUUUGUUGGGGUUCAACCUUAUUCGAUACCUCUUUAGAAUGGUGAAAGUUUCAGAUAAGUUGGUGAUGUGUUGGUCAGCAUGUUUGCUCUUGACUAGCAUAUCAUCAACGUAAACUUCCAUGCUCUUCCCAAUCUGGUCGGCGAACAUUGAAUUGACCAGUCUCUGAUAAGUCGCUCCUGCAUUAUUUAGGCCGAAGGGCAUGACUUUAUAGAAAUAUAGUCCCCUGUCAGUAGUGAAGGCUGUGUGUUCUUGGUCCGGAGGGUUCAUGAGGAUUUGGUUGUAUCCUGAGUAAGCAUCCAUGAAGCUCAAGAGUUCACACCCUGCCGUAGAGUCUAUAAGUUUGUUUAUGAGAGGAAGAGGAAAGUUAUCAUUCGGGCAUCCUUUGUUUAAGUCGGUGUAAUCAACACACAUUCUCCACAAGACCUUUUGGAGUAGGAGAUUUUCCUUGGUCGGAUUCUUCUUAACAAGGACAACAUUUGCUACCCACGUUGGAUAAUUGACUUCGCGGACAAAGCCUAUGCCUUUGAGUUUUUCAGCUUCUGCCUUGCCUCGUACCGUUCAGCAUCAUAAGAUCUUUGCUUCUGUCUCAUUGGCUUGGUCUUGGGGUCAAUACUUAAGUGAUGACAAAUUAUAUCAGGAGAGAUGCCUGACAUGUCCUCGUAUGACCAGGCGAAGACCUUAGUGUUCUCUUGCAAAAAAAGAGAUCAAUGCCAACCGAAUGAGUGGUGACAAGGUGGUACCAAUCUUCACCAUGCGAUCCGGAUAAUCUUUUGAGAUAGAGACUUUUUCCAACUCUUCAGCGGGUUGUGCUUGUUGGGUGAAGAGUCAUCUCGAGGAUCGUCGGGUUGACUGUUGCCACCGUGAAGAUCCAAGUUGGCUUCAUCUAGGCUGGUCUUUAUGACUUGGUCAUGUAUAGAAAGGGUUUCCUUGGGCACAUGCAGAUGCUGUUGCUUGACCGAAGUGUUGUAACAUGAUCGUGCACUAAGUUAAUCUCCUCUGAUGUAACCAUUGCCAUAAAGGGUUGGAAAUUUCAUCAACAACAUAUGUGUGGAUACCACGGCCUUGAAAUCAUUGAUGCAUGUGCGUCCGAAGAUAACAUUGUAUGCCGUUGGGCAAUCAACCACCAGAAAGUUAGUGGUAAUGGUAGGUGUGUAAGGGCAUGUACCAAUGGUGAAAGGUAAGUGUAUGCUCCCCAAAAGUUGCACGAUAUCGCUGCAGAAGCUUAUCGGAGGGGAAAUCGAGCGGUCGAGCAAGUGUUCAACUACAUUAAGUGCCCUGAAAACUUCAGCAAACAUGGUAUUGACCGAAGCCCCCGUGUCUACCAGGAUUCGUCGUACUUCAAAGUUGGCUAUAUGAGCUUCCACGAUCAGUGGGUCGUCGUGAGGGUAGAUGAUACCUCUUUAUUUCUCAGGGUAGAAACAUAUUGCAUCCCAGUUAGGCUUUUGAUACUUACCUCCCCUGAUGUCUUCCACGUGAAACACCUGGUGGCCAGACCUUAAAGCACGUUCACUAUUUUUCAUGGCCCUUUUGGAAGAUUUAGAUAUGGGUGUGCCACCACUUAUGGAAUAUAUCACAUUUACCUGGCGUUGGUUACGGUUACCCCUUGGAGGGUGAAGGAGGAAUUGAUCAAUUUUUCCUUCACGUGCCAAAGCUUUAAUAUGAUCACGAAGGGUGAUACACUUCUCGCCGUCAUGGCCGUUAUGCUCGUGGUAGCAGCAAAAUGUGCCCAUGUUCUUCGUGAGCUUGUAAUCCGGGUGCCUCGGCUUUAGCUUCGGUAUCAAGUGUGCUAUGCUGGGGUAAAUGGCCACGCAUGUGGCGUUCAAAGGUGUGUAUGCCUCAUACCUCGGGGUAGGGGUUGUCCUGACACGUGCUUGACCCACUGUGUUAACUGCUUGGGGUCGGGGAUUAUCAUGGCGAUACCCUUGGUUAUUGCAGUAGUAAGGAUGAAAAUCUUUCCUUUUGCCCUGAGGUUGAUAUGUCUGUUGACUUGGCAAAGUAUUAAGUAAGGCAGGGGGAGGCACCGCUGCCGUUUGGAAGGUCGAGGUCUUCUCAUUUGGUUGGAUCUGGCUUCCACUCCCUGCUUGCUGAUAAGGGGUGGUUGUGGGGGGUUUCCCUUGAUAUGUCAUUGCCUCGGUGGAGGCAUGGUUGUAAGCAUGUGCCAUCACCUCAAAGUAAGUCUUCCAAGUGUUAGCAUUGAUCAUGUACUUGAAGAAACAAUCACGUAGGCCUGCCGUGAAAGCCUUGAGGGCGGUCUUGUCAUCUGCCUCAGCGCAGCGAGACUACUCAUGGCUGAAACGACCAGCAUACUCUCGAAGUGACUCGUCCAGCUUCUGGCGAAUUGUGUACAAGUCAUCUGCAGAAUGCAAACGAUCGGUCUAGAAGAUGUGUUGAGAGACAAACAGUUUCCUCAGUUCCUCAAAUGAGUCUACUGUCUCAAGUGGAAGACGGCAAUACCAGUUCAGAGCUCCGCCAGAGAGGGUGGAGGGGAAGAGAAGACAUCGCUCUUCGUCGAUGUGCAUCUGAUAUGCCAUGGUGGACUCAAAGAGGUUAAGGUGUUCAAUUGGGUCCUCCUUUCCAGUAUAUAGUUGUAAACUAAGCUUUUGAUUUGUCUUCGCUUGAAGGGGGUGUCAAGGAUCCUCCUUGUGAGAGGGCCAGGCCUGGGUUGGUUCCAGUCAGGUAUCUCGGCCUGACGUUCGACCUUCAACUUGUUUACUUCCUCAAUGAGCUGUAGGACAAAGGGGUCUUGAGUGGAGUCAUGUACCACUGGGAUUUUCUUUCGUAAGUCUCCAUCGCCUCUUGGAAGUAGGAAAGUUUGAGCAAAGGCGUGUGAUUUUUCCUUGGACUCGCCGUACUGACUUCUAGUGCGAGUCUGUCGAAAUACCUCAGAGUCCUCUGUACCUUCAUGUUCCUCUAGGACAUGUCGUUCCUUCCCUAGAUUGGUAGCUGGCCUGGGUCGUGAGAGGGGACCGAGCCUUUCAAAAAUCCUUGGGUAAUUGAUCUUCGAGUAUAUGUGAAGGGGAUUCUCUCGACGUUGCUUUAGGAAGUCUCGACAGUCACGAUAAACGGCUUUCGAGCCUUCCAACCCUUCUGCAAGGAGGUGUCUUCCUCCAUUUCUCCUGCUUCGGGUCGAAAUAGCUAGGUUGAGAAAAGUCUCAUGUUGAUCAAUGUUUUUAUGAUUAGCUCGCUCCUCAUCAGGGAUACCCAUGUCGAAUGAAGGUGACCCUCCGUGUUGGGAGGCACCCAGAUGAUGGUUGAUGUCUACAGUGGCAACAAGCUUGUGUGUUUGAGUAUGUAUAGUUUCGUGGAGCGUCUCAAAGAGCUUCUCAUACUGCUCCUGGAAGACCUCAUUCUUCAUUGCUAUCUUGUUGUUUUGAGCUUCUAGCUCAUCGACUUUAGCUUGAAGAGCAACCUUCUUUCCUUCCUUCUUUCGUUGUUUCGCACUAAGUGUAAGAGGGGUGUCAUUCUGUGUGUUGUGGCUUCCUUCGUUCCCCAUGUUGGAGAGGGAUGCCUGGUCAAAAGAGAGUGUACGAAUGGUGGAAACCAGCUUGACAAAGCUGAAGAGAGUGGGAAUAAGUGUCGUUCCCACAGAUGGCGCCAAAUGUUGAUGCACAAAAUCAGUGAGGACUUUGUUACAACAGAAAGUGUUAAGUUUGUGACCUUCGCUAGAUUGCUUCGGUUAGUAGUGUGGAUAAGUAUGUAAAUGAAUAGGGACAGGGAAGCAAACACAAGAUGUACGUGGUUCACCCAGAUUGGCUACAUCCACGGAGUAGAGGAGUUGUCAUUAAUUGUGAAGGGUUUACACCAGUAUAUAGGUUCAAGCUCUCCUUUAGUGAGUACUAGUGAAUGAUUUAGUACAAAUGACAUUAGAAAAUAUUGUGAGAGAAUAAUCUCUAUUUAUAGAAGAGAGUUUCUAGUUUCAAAUGACAUUGAUACGUGUCGUGUUGUGAUUGGCUUCUGAUGUUGACACGUGUUGCGCUAUGAUUAGCUUCUGAUGUCGACACGUGUCGUGCUGUGAUUAGCCUCCUGGUUGUAGGGAAACUCUUCUGGGUCCUUGAGGUAUAACGUUGACCAGUGCUCAGUAGUUUCGGGAUUGGUCAAGUAUGGUACAAACAGAGCUUUUGGACUAAAUUUGACAUAUUAUGCUUUUGAGCUAAAAUUCAACCUUUUAUAUUGAAAAUUUAGGCUUUUGGGCAGGCUGCCAAUCUGCAGCCCAAUCUGUUGUUGGACUAAAAUUUGAAUCUGUGCACAAAUCUGCCAAUAUGAAUCUGCCAAUCUGAAUUUGUGCAAUCUGCCAAUCUAAAUAUGUGCACAAAUCUGUGCACAAUAGCAUCUGUGAUCUGCCUAUUCAAUUUCUACUACACAUGCAUGCAAUAAAAAUAAAUUAAGUAACAAAUCCAAAAGCAAAAAAAAUUAGUUACAAGCCAAGGUUUUAAAAUAAAUAAAGUAACAAAUCAUAUUCCUCUCCAAAUGCUUCCUAAUUGAAACUGCCUUCUUGAUAAGAUGGUACAGAUCCUCAGGAAUUUCAAGAGCAAGAGCUAACCAACAACGAACAAUAUUAUGUAUCGUCUACAUAAGUAGGCUAUUAUUUGGUCAGUGCCAAGGAAACUGAAAAGGACAGUACAACGGGCCUAAUUGAUAAUCAUAAAGAACUCCUAAUCUUCUUCAUUUUUUCACAGAACAUAAAAAACUAGAGAAUCUUACAUACAAUUACAAACAAAAUACAAUUUUUUUAACUAUUCAUGACCAAAGGUGGGAUUGUGUAACUAAUAGUAUCCGUGCAGCAAGCAACAAGAAAAUCUUGCAUACAACUAGAAAUAUAUACCUUCUUCCUAUCUUCUUCACGCUCAUUAAGUUAGUAGGACGAUGGCAAUGUAAAAUGGAUGCAUUACUAGGAUGACUCACUGCAGUAAAGAGAAUUUGUUAUUUUCUACUUCAAACUUCAAAGUACUCAACAUAAACUACUCAAACCGACGAUCGAAACCACGAUUUCAAUGUCACCAAUGCCCUAAAGAAUUUCAAGCCCCUUACUCCUCCUAAACAAAACUAAUUUGACCUACUUAGCAGCAAUUCAUGACAUUGACCAGAGCAAUUCUGUUUUAAUUGCAAAUAAUAGUUGAAUAAAAUGCUCAUAAAUCACCUUCUGCGAGUUGGUUUUACAAGGAACAAAGAAAACGUUUUACAAGGAACAAAGAAACAAAAGUAAAAUUCUAAAUAUAACCUCUCCGUCGCUUCAAAUUCCCUCCCCCCUUUUAGAAAACAUUUAAGUUAGGCUCCCUCCCCCCUUUAACCUCUCAUUCCCUCUAUAACUUCUCCGUCGAUUCAAAAUCCCUAAUUCCAAAAGCCCUAAUUUCAGAAAUUCCUAAUUCAGAAACCCAAAUUCAAAAUCCCUAAUCGAAUUUGGAAUCAAACAAUUUGUAUGAACUUUGGUUGAGUUUAUUACAAGAAUUUCUUACCUUUUGCAGUGAGGAGGAGUGCGGACUGAGAUCGAGAGCUCGAUUUAGGAGUCGGGUUCGGGUGGUAUGGACAGUGGGUGAAGGUGCGAUUCAGGUGAGGAGUGAGGACUAAAAGGAAUGAGGACUGGUGUGGGUAGAUUCGGGAUUUAGGCGACGAAUGUGGGAGGCGAGACAAAUCGCAGAUCGGCAAAGAGAGUGGUACUGAGGUGAGGUGAGGUUUUGACUUUGAGUCUAAGGAGGUGAGCGUCGAGAGACCGAGAGAGAAAGUCAAAGGCUAGGUUGAUAACUUUGAUUUAUAUUCAACGGUUGAGAUUAAAUCUUAACAGAAUCCAGCGGUUAUUAAAAUUCUAAAUAUAUAUUUAAAAAUUAAAUAAUAUAUAUAUAUUUUCGGUUCAGUUUGGGAUUACCGAAAUCCCAAAAACUUGAGACCGAUUCCUGUACCGAAAUUUCGGGAUCGGUUCCGUAUUUGGUAACGAAAUUUUCUGGAAUUUUGGUUUGGGAUUUUUUUGGUUUGGUUUGGGAUUUUUGGGAUUUGUUUCCAGCCCUAGGUAGAUUAGUCUACCUACAAGUGAUAGGAGCAUAUUUAUGCGCCUUAGUUAGCUAGUUCUUAUGCAUGUUUGUUAUGUUUUCUUAGUUUAAAGUAGUCUUUUAAGCUAGUUUCAUGUGUUUUCAGGUUUUAAGGGCAUAUUACAUAAAAUGAUGUAAUUUGGAGCCUUUUGGAGCAAAAUGGAGCUUGGAAUGGAAGUCACAUACUUGGAGCCAAGGGAAUGGACGAGAAUGAAGAUUUGAAGAUUUGAGGAUUCCUAAUUAAAGAAGGAUUCCUAAUCAACGGAGGAGUCCUAGCUAAGGAUGGAUUCGUAGUCAAAGAUGGAUUCCUAGAAGGAUGAGGAUUCCUACUCAAGCAAGGUUUCCUACUUGACGAAGGAGAAUUAAAGUCAAAGAAUCAGCUCAAGUGAAGAAAUCUUAUCCAAAACAUCAUCCAUAACCUUAUCUUAUCCAAACAAACCUUAUCCUAUCCUAUCUUAUCCAAAUCUGAAUCCAUUGAUACUUUAGCUGAGAAGGGGGGUUCAUAACUAGAUUAGAAUGCUUAAAACUAGAUUUCUAGAAGCCCUAUCCCUGCACAUAUAAGGUGCCGCACCUAUCCCCUUUCUAGAACUUGUUUUCCUUGCCUUGCAAGGCAUUCUAGAAGGCCUAUCCAUAUCCUAUAAUUCCUGCCGCACCUUGGUGAACCUUUUCCCUUGUGGAUUCUGGUUUCUAAGCCUAAUUCCUUGUGGAUUUGGGUUAUUCAAGUCCAUAUCUGAUUCCCCUAGGGUUUUAAGUGCCUAUAUAUACUCAUAUAAACCCCUAGAUCAGAUCACCACCUCUCAUACACAACCAUUCACGCCAUAAUUCAAUCCUUGAUUUCUGCCGCACCUUUCCAUCACCAUAGUCCCUAAUUUUUGCCCAAAAUCAUCCCUAGCCAUAUCCCCCAUCAACCCUAAAUACCAUCACCCAUUCCCCAUCCAUUCUCCACCAUUUAAAGAACCUAAAGAACCUGUCCAAAGUCCAAGUGUCGUGGCAAAGAGAAGGAGGAACCUUGGAACGUGCAUGCCAUUCAAGUCCGAGUUGCUGGGAGUUUUAGGUGUUUCCUUUCCUUUGAUUUCAAUGUUUAAAUUCUAUACUCUUUGUUUCGUACGUAUGAGGAACUAAACCCCCCUUGGCUAGGGGGGAUUCGAAACCAUGAUUAUGCUUGCUAUAUGAUUUGAUUACUUCUAAUUGCGUUUCAUAAGUUGUGGAUUCAAUUUAUUUAUCUAUAUGAAUUAAAACUGAUUUGUGUAUGUUGGUUGAGAGUGCACGCUUAAUUUUCAUGCAUAAGUUUGAUGCUAGAAUGUAAAGGAGUUUCACCUAAUAGUUAUGAACUUAUAUUCAUAAGUAGUAAAAGUUGUUGAUCACAAUUGCGUUAAGUGAAUUCUUGGCAUAAGUUUCAUGCGCUUUCAUAGUUACGAGUGCCUCGUCAAUGCUUAUGACUUCCAUUGAACGUAAUGAUCUUUGAUUGUAUCUCUAUUAUGCGCUUUCAUGUAGGGAGCUUUUGAGGAAUAAUUUGGUUGCGAUGCGCCUUUUCCGUCCAAUUCAUUGAUAUAAGGGAAAUCUGAAAGUUAAUUUAAGCGGACCUAAAUAACUUGGAGUGUUGAGUAUUCAUGGUUUAUUGAAUUGCAAUUAGAAAUCGUUUUGUAUGCGAGUAUAACAAGAACCCUUUAGCUAGCUUUCCAUCCAUUCUCUUUCACCAAAUUCGUUUUAAAAUCUACUCUAGUUUACAAGUUUUGUUUUGUUUUUAAUUCGUCCAAAAUCAAUCCCCCUUUAUUUUGUUGAGUCAUAGUAGUUAGAAAUCACUUUAGUUUGUGUUUUUUAAGUGUCUUAAGUCAAGUUAAAACCAAUUUUCGUCCAAGUUGUGUUUAUUGUUCAAAACUGCCCAGAUUGUGGUUUUAAGGCAGUUUUGAGUGUUUCUGGGCUGUUUUGAGUCUUUAGGUUUGUUUUAGUGUUUUAGAGUUUAGUUUUGCUUUCUUUGAGUCUAGUUUAGUGUUUUAAACUUGUUUUGACGUAUUUGAGUCAGUUUUCAAGUGAUUUAGCAAUCCCUCCUAAUCCCCGGUCUAGAACAAUCCCUACUUACAUACUUUGCUACAAUUGAUAAAAAGAGGGUUUAAUUUGAGUGCUAGUUAAUAUCAUAUCAACAAGCCGUCUUUAUGGAGAUGCAUCAUUGAGUAGCUUCUUUUCCAUUUGUGUUAGAGAGAUGUUUUGAUCAACCAAAAAUCGUGAAGGUUUAGCGCCUAAGAACCCAACAUCAUCCAAUAUGUCUAAUGCAUAUUUCUCUUGGCAUAGAGUGAUCCCACAUUUUGAUCGUGCAACCUCUAUCCCUAAGAAAUAUUUGAGCUUACCCAAGUCCUUUAGUUUAAAAUGUUUAGAAAUGAACUGCUUAGUCUCUUCGAUUUCUUGCAAAUUAUUGCCUGCUAGUAUACAUCAUCACCAUAAACCAACAAGGCAAUAAAAUUACCUUGAUGCCUUUGGACAAACAGUGAGUAGUCAGACUAUGACUAGUGAAACCCAGCAGCCUUGAAUGCAUUGGAUAGUUUAAGAAACCAUUGCCACGAAGCUUGUUUUAAACCGUAUAGGGAUUUGUUUAAUUUAUGUACUCGAGUCUCCCCCUUUCUUCCGAAUCCAGGAGGCAAGGUCAUGUAAACUUCCUCGUCUAGGUCACCAUGUAAAAAGGCAUUGGUGAUGUCUAGUUGAUGCAAGUGUCAUCCUCGCAAAGCUGCCACACUAAGAAGCACACAGACAAUGGUCAAUUUGGCAACGAGGGCAAAAGUUUCCCUGUAAUCAACCCCUUCUAUCUGGCUAUAACCAUUCGCAACCAGCUGUGCUUUGUACCUCUCUAUUGUCCCAUCGGGUUUUAGCUUCACUUUAUAGACUCAUUUGCAUCCAAUGGGUUGUUUGUGGAGUGGCAACAUCAUAAGAAUCCAAGUGUGAUUUGCCUGAAGAGCUACAAUCUUAUGUUGCAUGGCAGCAUGCCAAUGUAGGUCUCAAACAGCCUGCUAAAAGCUUGUGGGUCGUGAGGUUAGCUGUAUAGGUUUUAUGGUAGGGUGAAAGACGAGUAUACGAUAAAUGGUGAGAUAGUGAAUGAGAGGUACCUGAUGACUUAACCACGUUUGUUGAAGAUGUCGAAGCAAGCCUUGAUGGGAGAGAGGUCUCGACGUGAAAGUCCUACAAAAAUGAGGAAAGCUUUGUGGGACGUGUACCACGGCGGGGUGGUAAAGGUGUAGGUGCAGGGAUGGGUGGGGUGUUGGUGGGUGCUAAGGAAAUAAAAGUGGUAAGUGGUGUUUCUGGAGAAGGCAAGAUCAUGUUCAGUAUUUAUAACGGUGAUAAAGGUGGUUGUGAUAUUUCUGGUGUUUGUGGGGUGUCAUGGGAUUCAAAAAAUAAAUUGUCAGAUGUGAUGACUUGAGGAAUGGUGGGAGGGAAAGAACUUUUGUCAUGGGGCGUUCAUUUGUGUAGUGUAAUAGAGAAGAGUGUCAUGACUGGAUGAUGAAAGAUUAUUUCAUCGAACGUCCAAGAUAUCCUCCUCAUGAUUUUCGAAGGCGGUGUCAGAUGAUGAGAGAACUUUUCGAAAGCAUAUUAAUACAAACGACAAUUAAUAAACCACAUAAACUUAAUACAAUCGAUAAUUAAUAAACUACAUAAACUUAAUAAUGAUAUCCACCAUCUUGAAUUGGUGGUGGACUUGGGAUAUAGCCUUAAGAUGAAUCAUCAUCUUGAAAGAUAUUCCUUGUGGCAUGCCUUCGCAAAAUUUCUUUUUGCUUAUCACGUAAGAACUUUUUCCCUUCUAAAGUGUAUUUGUUGAGGUCCUCCAUCAUGGGAUUACAUUCGAACCUUCUUUGUUCCCUAUUCCCUUCCUUCAUAAAGGCCAAUUCAUUCGAGCCGCUUCUUCCUCCCGAGAGCUAUGGCUUUUGGUCAAUCUUGCAAAUCCGGUAGAAAUUUGUGCACUAAUCGAAUCUUCGAACUUCCCUUUUCUCUUUGCUUCCUUUUACUUAUCUCUUCUUGGAAACCUUACAAAAGAAGGAGUUAGGGUCAACGAAUCAACACCUUCAUUUACAAUCCUUGAGAACGUUCCAAGCAUGAUGCAAUUUAAAAACUUGAUUUUUUGGUGUAGUUCUUAUCAUGUAAUUUGCCAUUUCUUUGUCACCCUAUGCAAGAAAUACAUAAAAACAAUUAGUUGCAAAAUAAUAUUAUGUACAUGAUAAAUAAGAUAUCAACAAAGAAACUCACAACUUCUGCGGCACUCCUUCCACUAGUUAUGUCAACCAUGGCUCUCUCCAAGCUUCUCUUCCAUAAAUUGCACGCUUUGUUGAUAACCUUCCACCGAUCAUAAAUGCCACCACCUUCCCUUCGGUUAGCGUUGGAGUUUUCAUUGAACUUAUCAACGAUUUACCCCACAAAACCUUUUUAUUUUUAUUUGUACUAACGGCACUAUCUUCGCUAAUAGAAACUCAUGUCAAGCAUAAAGCAACAUCUUCCUUAAAGGUCCAAUUACGACCUCUAAUAUGAUCAUUUGCCAUCUUGAAAAUUUUGGAAAUGGAAAGAAAUGGUAGAAAGAAAAAUUGGAAGAAUUGUAGGAGAAAAGUGAGUUUUGUGUGAAUGUUUGAACAAAUACAUAGGUAUUUAUAGAGUUUUUCGAUGAAUUUUGAGUUCAAUAAUUUUUUUUAGGCUUUUAGCCAAAAUGGUCCCUGAGAUUUGCAUAACACAUAACUUUGGUCCCUGAGUUUGUCCACCAUCCAUUAUUUUGGUCCUUCCGUUAAAAACUCUAUUAAGUGUCUCGAAGCUCUUGGCCGGAAGUUUGGGCAAUUUUCAAAGCUUCGUAACUCAAUCGUUUCUUAACCAAAUUCGACCCAUAAUAUAUCAAAAUAAAGAUAGGAAAGUGUAGAACAAGAUUGGAAGCCCAAUGGUUGCCAGAGAUGGCCGGAAAAUAGCCUGAAAAGUGACUAGUCCACGACAAAAACUGGAAAACUCACCGGAAACUGGGUAAACUUUAAACAUUCAUAACUUCUUCAAUACGCAACAAAAUUGAGUGACUCAAAAAUAAAAAUCAUACUUCUCGACGAGGCGAAGAGAAUGGUACCUUUAUCGAUGGCUAAAUCGCCGUGGUUUGGUUGGAAAAUGGUUCGAAAAUGGCUAACUUGAGACCAAGAUAGCCACUUUCGAGCCGUUUUUCUGGCCAAAACAUGAUGAUUUAGCCAUCAAUAAAUGUUCCAUUCUAUUGGUCUCGUCGAGAAGUAUGAUUUUUAUUUUUGAAUCACUCGAUUUCGUUGAGUAUUGAAGAAGUUAUGAACGUGUAAAGUUUACCUAGUUUCCAGCGAGUUUUCCAAUUUUCCCAAGGACCAGUCACAUUUCGGACUAUUUUCCGGCCAUCUCUGGCAACAUUGGGCUUCCAAAUAGGUAUAAUCUUGUUCUACACUUUUCUAUCUUCAUUUUGAUAUAUUAUGGGUCAAAUUUGGUCGAAUUUGGCCAAGAGCUCCAGGACACUUAACGAAGUUUUUAAUGAAAUGACCAAAAUAAUGGAUGGUGGACAAUCUCAGGGACGAUUUCUAUUGAUUUUCAAUCUCAAGGACCAAAGUGAUGUGUUAAGCAAAUCUCAGGGACCAUUUUGGCUAAAAAGCAUUCUUUUUAAUUAUUUUAGCCCUUGGAUUUAAAUUUGGGCCGUUAGAAUUUUUUUUACCGUUAGAUUUGAUUAUAUUCAAUCUCAGUUGUUGGAUUCAACAAAUAUAUAAAUAUAAAACUAAAAAAAAUUGAUCCAAAGGCCCAAUUGAUUCAAGCCCUUCGAUAAAAAAAGUAGCUGUUACCUACUGACGCAAGUGGCCGACAUGCCCAUGUGGGUAGGGCCAUGUCAUUGCCUGCCCUUGGCGCGUCGCUUGCAUGUGAGUGUCCGACCUUUGCGUCUGGCAUUCAAGCGCCCAUUUCCACUCUCACUGGUGGACCCCACACAUUUCUUUCGGCUAUUUCUUGGAUGCAAAGGUUGGAUGCUCACACGCAAGUGACGCGCCAAGGGCAGGCAACGGCAUGGCCCCACCGACAUGGGCAUGUCAGCCACUUGUGUCAGCAGGUAACAUCUACUUUUUUAUCGAACGCCUUGAAUCAAUUGGGCCUUUGGAUCAAUUUUUUUUUCAGUUUUAUAUUUAUAUAUUUAUUGAAUCCAAUAGUUGAGAUCGAAUAUAAUCAAAUCUAACAGUAAAAAAAAAAAUCUAACCGCCCAAAUUUAAAUCCAAAUGCUAAAAUAAUUAAAAAGAAUGCUUUUUAGCCAAAAUGGUCCCUAAUAUUUGCAUAACACAUCACUUUGGUCCCUGAGAUUGAAAAUCAAUAGAAAUGGUCCUUGAGAUUGUCCACAAUCCAUUAUUUUGGUUAUUUCGUUAAAAAUGUCAUGAAGUAUCUUGGAGCUCUUGGCCAAAUUUGACCCAUAAUAUAUCAAAAUGAAGAUAGGAAAGUGUAGAACAAGAUUAUACCUAUUUGGAAGCCCAAAGCCACUUUCAAGCCAUUUUUCGACCAAAUCACGGCGAUUUAGCCAUCGAUAAAGGUACCAUUCUCUUCGUCUCAUCGAGAAGUAUGAUUUUUAUUUUUGAAUCACUCUAUUUCGUUGAGUAUUCAAGAAGUUAUGAAUGUUUAAAGUUUACCCCAUUCCAGGUGAGUUUUCUAGUUUUGCCACGGACCAGUCACCUUUCAGGUUAUUUUCUUGCCAUCUCCGGCAACCAUUGGGCUUCCAAUAGUCAUAAUCUUGUUCUAGUCUUUCCUAUCUUUAUUUUGAUAUAUUAUGGGUCGAAUUUGGUUAAGAAACGAUUGAGUUACGAAGCUUUGAAAAUUGCCCAAACUUCCGAACAAGAGCUCCGGGACACUUAACAGAGUUUUCAACGGAAUGACCAAAAUAAUGGAUAGUGGACAAACUCAGGGACAAUUUCUAUUGAUUUUCAAUCUCAAGGACCAAAGUGAUGUGUUAAGCAAAUCUCAGGGACCAUUUUUGCUAAAAGCCUAAAAAAAAUUAUUUAACUCAAAAUUCACCCAAAAACUCUAUAAAUACCUAUGUAUUUGUUCAAACAUUCACACAAAACUAACUUUUCUCCUACAAUUCUUCCAAUUUUUCUUUCUACCAUUUCUUUCCAUUUCCAAAAUUUUCAAGAUGGCAAAAGAUCAUAUUAGAGAUCGUAAUUGGACCCUUAAGGAAGAUGUUGCUUUAUGCUUGGCAUGAGUUUCUAUUAGCGAAGAUAGUGUCGUUAGCACGAAUCAAAAUAAAAAGGUUUUGUAGGGUAAAUCGUUGAUAAGUUCAAUGAAAACUCCAACGUUGGCCGAAGGGAAGGUGGUGGCGUUUACGAUCGGUGGAAGGUUAUCAACAAAGCGUGCACUUUAUGGAAGAGAAGCUUGGAGAGAGCCGUGGUUGACAUGGCUAGUGGAAGGAGUGUUGCAGAAGUUGUAAGUUUCUUUGUUGAUAUUUUAUUUAUCAUGUACAUAAUAUUAUUUUGCAACUAAUUGUUUUUAUGUAUUUCUUGCAUAGGGUGACAAAGAAAUGGCAAUUUACAAGAUAAGAACUACACCAAAAAAUCAAGCUUUUAAGUUACAUCAUGCUUGGAACGUUCUCAAGGAUUGUCCGAGGUGGGGAACCGAUGCGGACCAACAAUGGAGAAAAUUAUUUGGUAGUGAAGUCGCACGGACAAAUUAUGUCAAUGAAGGUGUUGAUUCGUUGACCCUAACUCCUUCUUUUGUAAGGUUUCCAAGAAGAGAUAAGCAAAAGGAAGCAAAGAGAAAAGGGAAGUUCGAAGAUCUUAUUAGUGCACAAAUUUCUACCGGAUUUGCAAGAUUGACCAAAAGCCAUAGCUCUCGGGAGGAAGAAGCGGCUGGAAUGAAUUGGCCUUUACGAAGGAAGGGAAUAGGGAACAAAAAAGGUUCGAAUGUAAUUUCAUGAUGGAGGACCUCAACAAAUACACUCUAGAGGGGAAGAAGUUCUUACGUGAUAAGCAAAAAGAAAUUUUGCGAAGGCAUGCCAUAAGGAAUAUCUUUCAAGAUGAUGAUUCAUCUCAAGGCUAUAUCCCAAGUCCACCACCAAGUCAAGAUGGUGGAUAUCAUUAUUAAGUUUAUGUAGUUUAUUAAUUAUCAAUUGUAUUAAGUUUAUGUGGUUUAUUAAUUGUCGUUUGUAUUAAUAUGCUUUCGAAAAGCUCUCUUCUCAUCCGAUACCGCCUUCGAAAAUCAUAAGGAGGAUAUAUCGGACGUUCGAUGAAAUAAUUUUUCAUCAUCCAAUCAUGACACUCUUCUCUAUUACGCUACACAAAUGAACGCCCUAUGACAGAAGCAGAGCUGUCUCUGAGAUUUUGGGGGCCCUAUGCGAAAUUUAUAAAAGCACCCCUCCUUAAGAUAAGUCUUAAAAAAUGUAGGACAAUGUAUUGACGCUAGAAAACAAUCACUUAAAUCAAAACAAAGUUUAGCACUCACUUAAUGCAACUUUAAAAAUGUCAUUAAUAAUAAGUAAAAAGAGCUACAAACAUAACGUUCACUAAAUAAUCAAAAGCAGUUCAAUCUUAAACAACCAAACAAGAAAACAAACUUCAAAAACUCUAACUUUAAAGUUUCACUUGAAUAUGUAACAUUAUUAUAUAAUAAUAUUGAAAAAAUACCGUCUUAAUGGUGUAUUAUUGGCACUCGAAAUAUCUUAUUGUACUCUAAUUUUUUGUAUUUAAAAAGAAAAAAAAUUACGCUUAUAAGGAGUGUAAGAUGAGAUUUUAAAGUGCUAACAAAAUCAAUUUUUGAAUAUAAAACAUUAUUUCAUAACAAAAGUAAUUUUAAAUAUAGAAUAUUAUUAAAUAUAAAUAUUAGGUGACAAAAAUUUGGGGGCCCCUUCAAAUUUGGGGCCCUAUGCGACUGCACCUUUCGCACCCCCUCAACGCCCCCUCUGACUCCUUCCCUCCCACCAUUCCUCAAGUCAUCACAUCUGACAACUUAUCUUUUGAAUCCCAUGACACCCGACAAACACCAGAAAUAUCACAGCCACCUUUAUCAUCGUCGUAAAUACCAAACAGGAUCUUGCCUUCUUCAGAAACACCACCUACUGCUCUUAUUUCCCUAGUACCCACCAACACCCCGCCCAGGCCUGUAGCUACACCUUUACCACCCCACCGCGGCAUACGUCCCACAAAGCUAUCCUCCUUUUUGUAGGACUUUCACGUCGAGACCUUUCUCCCCUCAAGGCCUACUCCGACAUCUUCAAUGUACGUGGUUAAGUCAUCAGGUACCUCUCAUCCACUCUCUCACCACUUAUCGUAUACUCGUCUUUCACCCCACCAUAAAACCCAUGCACCUUUCGCACCCCUUCAACGCCCCCUCUGGACAGAACCAUAAUAGCUAGAUUCGGCAUGGUGCUCAUAUUGUAUAAGUGAGUUUGCAAAUUCGGCUUCUUCGUUGUUCAUUUCUGCAUUCACCGUUAUAAGGCUUGCUUGGUAUUGUGCCAUCUGCAUUGCCAAGCUACGCCUUCUUUUAUCACCCAUUGAUGAGAUAUUGAUGAUUUUGAGGAAACAAAAACACUUUGAAAGUUGGAUGAUUGGUGAAUAUGUUGUGUGAAGGUUAGAUAUUCAACCUUUGCUUAUAGAGAGGAUGAUUGAAGGUUUGCGUUUCAUGUGUGUAGGUUUGUGUUUCAUGUGUUUCAUGUGUUUUGUAUGUAUUUAGUAUGUGUUUCGUGUAUGUCAUGUGUUUCACAUGUUUGGUGUGUUAUAUACAUCUCUAUCAUGUGUUUUGUAUGUGUUUCAUAUGUGUUCUGUGUGUCUUGUGUGUUUCAUGUAUUUUGUGUUUAUACAUCUCUAUCAUGAUUUUCAUAUUCUUCCAUAGUUUUUCAUGUAUCGAUUUAGUAAUUUUUCAAUAUUUAUCGGAAUUUAAAUAUUUUUAGGUUAAAAUGUUCAUAUAAUUAAUUUAGGAUGGUCUACAUAUUUUUUUAAGUUAAUUUUAAAUACAUAAUUUUUUUUAAAAAAAAUAGCCUAAAUUCAUUAUUUAAUAAUUUGGGGCUAAAAGUUUAGGCUAUAAGGGUUGGAGUAGAAAAACUGUUUAUGAGUUAAAACCUAAAUUUUCUGGACUAAAAAUUUUAGGUUUUACCCCAAUAUUUGGGGAUGGUCCAAGAUUUGUCUUUUUUAGUUGAAAGUUACUUUCCUUAAAACAAUCGGUAUUCAAAGGAGACUUAAAUUCAGGAGCUUUUUCAAUAUUGAAAAAAAUAAAUAAUAGAUAAAAAUUAAAUCAUACUCCCCCAAAUAAGUAAUAGACUAAAAAUUAAAAGGAAAACUGAUGGAAAUGGCUUGAAAACUUUGAGUUUUAACGAUAAGGAGAAAAUAAAUGAUAAAGUGAAUAGUAUCAGGAUUGACUUUUUAGUGUAAAAAUGUGGUUUUUCGUUAAAGUGAACAGUAUCGGAAGUUUUUCGUUAAAGUUCCCAAAAUUAAAUAAUACUCCCACCAAUAAGUAAUAGACUAAAAACUAAAUCAUACUCCCGCCAUAAGACUUGUCUUUUAAUUAUGUUGAAAAGUGCUUUUUUGAAAGCUAUCGGAAAUUGAAGGAGAUUUAAAUUCAGGAACUUUUUUAAUAUUGAAAAUAUAAGUAAUAAAUCGUCUACUUGCUCCACAAAUAAAUCGAACUUCUUUAUCAUAAGAUUGUGCCAUAGAGGGGUUUAAUCUAUAGUUAAGUUUUUUCCUAUGCCUUGUCACCAAGGACUAUGUAUUUUCUUUGUAUAUAUGCCAAGAGACAAUCCUAAACUAAUCGGAUCUUAGUUUGCAACUGCAAAGUAAAUUGAAAGAUAAAAAUUAACGCAAGUAAUGAUACAAAGGAAAUACAGGGAAGAAAAGGAUGGUUAGAUGUUCACCAAACGUUAAUUAACAAGAAAGUAAAUUGCAUAUAAGGUUAAUAAUUUGAAAAGAAAUGACAAAUACAAGUAUUUAGGCAAAGUUUGAACCUAUUCAGGCAAAAUUGAUCACAAAUUAAGCAAAUUCUUGCAAGCAAGGAAAUUUAUUUUAGAAAGAAAGUUAAUACAAAAAAAUCAAUUCUACAAGUGAUAUAGCAAAGCUAUAAAGAAAAUAAGUGUUUGAAUAACAAAAAGAAUUUCUAAAAAGUAGGUUUGCAGAGCUUUGAAGUUUUUUUGUGUUAAGUAAGUGUCAUUUUCUUCCUCUUUAUGCUGCCUUUUAUAGAAUAGACUUUUCCUUUUAAUGUAAGCCCUUCCCCCUUAGUUCAUUCCUUAUUAUCCAAUAACUUGCUGAUUUGACUGCUGUCAGAUGAUGAGUUUUCAUCUAGUAGCUUGAGCUUUUUCCCUUUAAAACUACAAUUUUUCCACCAGAUAGCAACUGUCCUCUGUGAAAAUAAAAAAAUCAACUGAAUUACCUUCUUUUAAUGUGAAAGAGGGUAUCUUUGCCGUCCGCAUUGCUACCUCAUAAAGUACUUUUAAAAACCUGGAUCGCACACUGUUCACCUGUAACAUAACUAAAUACUCACUAAGUCAUUAGUUAAAGUUCAGUGGCUUGGGCAGGCCUAGAACGUGCCUAACAAAUGUUUUCAGUCCAAACAACUUGGCCUUAAGGUGCAUGACUAAUCUGGGUGGUAACAUAAACUGUAUUAUUUAGUAGUAAAACGACAGUUUUUCAAGAUAUCAAACAGUAUUGUCCUAUGUCCUAGUGAUAACAACUAAUGGAAAAACAGAAAAUGGGAACUUUUUGUUGGCAAUGUACAUGACGAAUGUAUCUAUUUUUAUCCUUGGCACCUUUCUCUAUAGCAAUUGGGUAAACUAAAGCUGAGGAAUAGGCUUAUAAUAGCCUUGGAUAUUAACUUGUAAACCUAACUGGACCGACCUUGAAUUCCAACUCACAUAUUCACCCGAGUUUCUCCUUAACUAUAAGAUGAGAAAUAACUAGACUUGACAUUCGUGUCAUGUUUUCUAUGUUCAUAUCGUUUUCGUGUCAUAUUCAAUAUUUUAACGAGUCGUGUCAUGUAAUGUCCGUUAAAAUAAAUGGGUAUAUAACAUGACUAGAAAUUGCCUCGUUAAUAUUAAUGCUAGGAAACCAAAAUUUUAAAUUAGAUUUGCAAAUCAAAUGAUAUGGUUGUUGAUGAAUGGUUCAUUACUACAGCGUUGAAUAACGUGCUUAUUUUCUAUUAGUGACACAUCAUUUGGUUUGCAAAUUUGAUUUAAAAUUUUGGUUUCCCUAGCAUUACCCAUAUGGAUAAUAGUUGUAGAAGCGGGUUUCAAACCUGAGACCUCUAGUUUUUAGCUUUAAGGAAGCCUCGUAAUCCUCCAUUUACCACUUAGCCACCAAUUUGUGGUUUAUAAUAAAAAUUAAGAAAAUUUAAAAAUGUAAUCACAAUAAAUCGGCUCCAUGGACCAGUAAAAAAUUAGGAUCCACAGGUUUCUAUCAGAAUGUGAAAUGAGAAAUAAUUAGACCUGAGAUUCAUGUCGUGUUUUAUGUAUUCCUAUCGAUUUCGUGUCAUAUUUUAACAAGUCGUGCCGUGUAAGACCCAUUAAAAUAAACGGGUAUAUGACCCGACCAGAAAUUGAUUCGUUAAUUUUAAUAGGUAAUAUGACAUGACCCGUUACUUGUUAAAGAAAAUAUAUUUUAAGCCAAUAAAUAAUCAAAUGAAAAAUAUAAUACUAAAUAGUAUACACAUACCACAUUGUCACAUAAAUAUUACUUGAAACAUAAAAAUACAUUUGUCUUUCAAGCAUCACAUAAAUAUUAAUUAACGUAGAAGUGUGAAAAAUAUUGAAAAAAAAAUAUUAUAUAAACGCUCGUACUAAUUAACAAGCUUUACAACUUUCGUGAAGGGCUCAACUUUCAAAUUUGCCACUAUAAUCACUUAAACUAUAGAUCGAAAUUUAACUAUUGAUUGUCGUUUACAUUUAUGCUUCUCACCAAAUUUGUCUUUUCAGAUCUUCUUUUUUGAAAACAUAAUCUUUUUUAGGAUGCAGAAAGAUGAACGGUUUAGGUCGCUGAUAUUACAUUCAGAGUUUACUGUUAGUAAAAACAUUGCUUGGAGUUUAUAAAGUGUCUAGAAACUAUAUAACAUCAACUCAUAUUUCAGUUAAAUAUAAAUAUUAGAACAUGAUAUCAAUGAUUCGAACUAUUCAUUUUUUUAUAAAUGUGCUAAAAUAUCAUGUUUAAAAAAAUUUGAAAAACAAAAUUCAAUGAGAAGAAUAAGGCGUAAACAACGAUUGAAGAUUAAGUCUAAAUCUAAGAUUUAUGGAUUAUGGUGUUAGAUUUUAGAGUUGACCGCUUCACAAAGUUGUAAAGCUUGUCAUUACGAGUAAUUGUGUGUGUGUGUGUGUAUAUAUUUUACAUUUUUCACAUUCUACAAUGAUUAUUAUGAAUUUUAUUAGUUUUGCACUUAAAUAAAAAAUACUAUUCAUGAGGGUUUGAAAGGUUUUAAAUCUAAACGCCGAUGUAACCAUUGUCUAUGCAUGGAGGAUGCAAUCCCAAUUGUCUAUAUAUUCUUUCCCUUUUUUACACUUGUACAUUAAUUAUUAUGAUUUUUUUAAUGUGUUUGGUAUUUUAAGAUUAUUUUAAUAUUUUUAUUUUUUAAUGUGUUUUACAAUAUUUUAAUUUCACUUUUAAGAGAAUAAAACAUUUAUGAGUAUGAGUGUAUGAGAGAGGGUAAAACAAAUUUGGGUAAAAAAUUUUUGGGUAACAAAUCAAGUAAAAAUCUCACAAUAAAAAUAAAUAAAUAAAACUUAAAUUUUUUAAACUUAUAUAGAAUAAUAAUACGAUAAUACAUAUUUAACAUACAAUAUAUACAUUAUGGUUGUUGUAUUUUAUGGUAAGUUUUUAUUAGUAGUUUAAGUUUAAAAUCAUCAAAAUAAUAUUUUUCUUAAUAGUCGAAACGUGUUACCUACAGGUUACCCGAGUGUAAAUCCGUUAACGACCCGUUUUUAACGGGUGACCUGAUAACAACCCGAUUAGUUGUUAUGUUGAUCCGAAACUCGUUAUUUUCGUGUUAUUUUCGUUUCAUAUUAACAGAUCGUGUAAGAAACUAUCAGGUUUUAUAAUAACAUGCAUGCAUUUGUGUCAAAAUAUAUAAGAGAUUCCAUCACACACAAUGUUGACUAAGAAAUUAGAAGAAGAAAAAACUUUGCUAAUAGGCGAGGACCAUUCGAUCUUCAAAUCCUGGGAAUCUGCGUGGUUUUCUUGUGCUAUAUCUCUUAGCUAGUUGUCUGCAGUAUACGUGUACGCCAUACAUUUCUUAAUUUUUUAGCUAUAUUACUAGCUAGCUAUUGGCGUAUUUUUCCUGCUAUCAACUUACUUGCACAUUUCUACUUUUUGUUUUCUCCAUGUAUGUGCACACACUAGUGGAUCCAUUAAGGGGCAUGGGGGGUCAGGUGACCCCCCGAAUUUCAAUGAACAUCCAUAGAUACCUUACGUGCUGAUCCUUCAAACCUCGGUGAAUGUCCAUGGAUACCUUGAGUGUUGCCCUUUUGAAGAUUAGAGUUGGCUUCAUACUUGCCCUCCAAACGACUUCAGGCCUACCAAAACCCGAUGAAUGUCCGUGAAUACCUUGGGUGCUGCCCCUUGCAUACAUUAACAUGUCUAUAGUAUACAUUUUCAAAUGACUUUAGGCCUACGAAAACUUGAUCAAAUGGCAAUAUGCAUGCUAUUUAUGGUAUAAAAAAAUUUGCGCACUAUGCGCUCUAUUUUUACUGACCCCCCUAAUAUUAUUUCCUAGAUCCGCCACUGGUUGCACAUGUAUUUUGUUGUCUUCAAACUAGCACAUUUAUGGGUUUUGUGCUCUCAUGAUUCUCCAUACUUGCUCCUAAAUCUUUCUUACCACACAAUUAAGCAUGCACAUGCAAUUUUCUUUCCAUAGCGGCUAACACACUUACAAUACCACAUUAUUCUUGAAUUGAGUUUCAUUAAUAUUGGUUUAAGCGGUUGAACAAAAGAGAAAGUUUUUUCGUUUUUAUUUUAUUGUUUAACUUAUAAAAAAAAAGAAAAAAAAAGAAUAGAAAGUUUGAUUUGGACAUACUACGUCACCAUGGCCAUCAAUUGUUAACUGGUUCAUUAUCCAUGACAUUGACAAAUUAACGAAUUAAGUUUUUUUUAGGGUGAAUUACAUUUUUCCACUUAUGGCUAUUGCAACAUCAUAUAACAUCAUUAAAAAAAUCACUUUCAUACCUCACGUACUAUUUUAUUUCAAUAUAAUAUCUCCGUUCCAUUUUAUAUCCAUUGCUCCGUUAAGAGCUGACGUGGCAGUCCACUCCUUACAAAAUUAAAUUAAAACAAAAUGAAAAAGGGUCAAUCCCCUCUUCUUCCACCUGAACACAAGGCCUCCAUCUCCUCCAAUCUCCAUAACCACCAGUGCACCACCCCUCCCAAUCCCUAAACCCUCAUUCUCUAAUCCUCCAAAUUCUUCUUCUUCCCCAAAUUUCCGUAAUAAAUCUCUCUAGUUUCAUUCUCAAGCCGAAAAAGAAACCCCCAGAAAUUUCAUAGAUUUCGAAAUUUUAUUUCCCAAAAUUCAAAAACCCCAAAAAAUUCAAAAGAUCAUGACGUCGACAGAGAACCAGGCGCUUAGGCCACAUACAGCGAAACCAAGGUCACCGAAAGACGCGAUCUUUGAGAGGCCGCCGCUGUGGGGGGAGAAGUUCGCCAAGGACGAGCCCUCCUCAAAUGGGUCGUUGGUCUAUGAUCUGAUGGAGAUUUAAAUUAAACCAUCGGUAUUCGAAGGAGAUUUAAAUUCAGGAACUUCUUCAAUAUUGAAAAAAUAAGUAAUAGAUCGUUUGUUUACGCCACAAAUAAAUCGAACUUCUUUAUCAUACGAUUGUGCCACAGAGGGGUUUAAUCUAUAGUUAAGCUUUUUCCUAUUCCUUAUUGAUGCGAUGAAAGUUAAGCACUCAAAUUAAACCCUCUUGUUGUCAAAUUGUAGUAAUAAUGCAAGUAGGGAUCGUUCUAAACCGGGGAUUAGGAGGGCUUGCUAAAACUUCUAAACUAACUCAAAAACAUAAAAACAAAGUUAAAGACGAUUGAAUAGACUUAAAGAACUCAAAACAGGUUCACAAGACUCAAAAUAACUUAAAGACACUCAAAACUGCCUAAAAACACAAACUAGGCAGUUUCUGACUCUAACACAACUUUGGACGAAAUUUGGGUUUUGACUUGACUCAAAACACUCUAAAACACAAACAAAACAAAUUUUAAACACUUUGAAACAAGAAAGUAAAAGGGGGAUUUUAGUUUUGAUGAAUUUGAAACAAACAAACAAGUUAUAAAACUAGGCAGAUUGUAAAACGAAUUUAAGAAAUAAGAUGAUGGAUGGAUUAGUUAGAGGUCCGCUCUUCACACAUGACACACUUGUAUAUGAAUUGAUUUCCAAUUGCUUUUCAAUAAACUAUGAUGCUCAACACCCCAGAUUAACCGUGAUGCACAAAUUAACCCUCAGAUUUUCCUUUACUCAUUGAAUUGGAUGAAUGCAUGCGACAACCCAAAUCAUUCUCUAAAAGUCCCCUAUAUGAAUGCAUAAUAGAGAUACAAUCAGAGAUCAUUACGUUCAAUGAAAAUCAUAAGUGUUGACGAGGCAAUUAUAACUAUGAAUGCAUGAUACAAUUGCCAAGAAUUCAAUUAACGCGAUUGUGAUAAAAUACCUUCGCUACUCAUGACUAUAAACUUGUAACGAUUAGGUAAAACUCAUUUAUAUUCUAGCAUCUAAUUCAUGCAUGAAAACUAAGUAUGCAUCCUUAAUAAACAUACAAGAAUCAGUUAUGAAUAAAAUAGAUAAUUGAAUUGCAAUCACAACUUAUCAAAUCACAAUUGGAAGAAAUCAAUUCAAAUCUCAAGCAUGUUCAUGGCUUCAAACUUCCCCCUAACUAAAUAGGGGUUUAGCCACUCAUAAUUGCAACAAAAUUAGACAAUAACAAUGUAGACAUUGAAAGCAAGAACGAAGUACACCUAAAACGCUCCAAAGUUCCAAGCUUGAAACGCCAAGGACCUUUGUUUUCACCACCUUGUUGUAGCACAAGUGUCUAGGAUAUGUAUGGAUAUAUGGAUGGAAUGGAUUUGCACGGCUAAGAGAUGAAAGUGUAUGGAUUGGUGAGAUGUAGUAUGGCUAGAUGAAUGGAUGGAGGUCACUACAAAGAAAUUGUGUUUGUGAAUGAAGCUCUUUUGAUGGAUCAAGAUUGUCCUUAGGAAGGGGAAUGGUGGAUGUAUUUAUAGGCUAAGGAGAGGACCACUUCAAUUCCUUGCAUGUGCAGUUUGUAUGGGUGUGUGAUGUCCAUGUUUCCCUUUACAUUUGCACACACAUGACCUCCAUCAUCUCAGCCACAAAUCAACCCAUUUUAUGCCCAUGUGUGUGUGUUUCCUUUGCCCAUGUGUGUGUGUUUUUCCUUUGCAUUUGCACACACAUAUUCUUCAUUAUUUCAGCCAACAAUCCACCCAUUUUCUGCCCAUGUCAAACUGUCCAUGCCAUGCCUUUCUCUUUGUGUGUGUGCUGUCCAUGUUUCUUCCAUGUGCCUUGUUCAUCUUCUGGCUGUGCAUUUCCACUUGCUCCAAAGCCAAAUAAGUGCAAUCAUAACCCCAUUUGCUGCUGAGUGUUGAUGACAAAGCAAAACACAAAACAAGUGCCUUUACUUUCUCACUUUAUUAGCCAAAUCUGCUUAGCCCUUUUCUGAACCUUUCAGUGUUACAAUGCCCAUAACUUCUUGUAGAAAAAUGAUAUUAACAAUCCGUAAAUUGCUCCAGAAAAUAGACAUCUGUAGCUUUCCAAGCAUAUAAGGCUCAUUCUCUCAUUCAUUCUGAGCUGUUUGUAACAUGCUUCCAAAGUCAGCUAAUCUGCACAGGCAGUUUUGACGAAUUUAUUACUUAAUAACUCACUUGUGCUACUUUUCUUUUCUUUGCUUGAUAAAUCACACAAAACACAAAAACAUAGUAAAUAGCUCAAAAAUAUAAGGAACUAACUAAGAAAAGACAAGUGAAUUUUAUGUAAAAUAUAUAUAAAUAUGAGCUUAUCAAAUACCCCCACACUUAGCUUUUGCUAGUCCUCGAGCAAAAUAAAGAAAACAAAACACAAACUAAACCUUCCAACGUUUGCCUCAGGGAUUUCCAACGCACAUGACAAGUUAAAAAUCAUCAUUCCCACAGAUUUUAGUCAACUUAAAACUUGAGCACAUACUUAAUCACAAUCACCACUUACUAGUUCACAUUUAACCAAUUAAAACGAUGUUUUGAAUGUAGUAACAUGCCUUAGAGAAUUUGCCCAAUUCCUUACAAGAUAUGCACUCAAUUUUCACUUAGAUUUUCUGACUACACACCCUACACUAGGUACAUGUGAGAAGAUUGAUGUAAACAUGAAAACUAGUACUCACAUAUAUGUAUAACAAGAAAGCAUUUUCUGGUAUUAAUAAGCAUGUUUAGAUAUGAUCUCAUGAAUGGAAUGCUACUACGUAGAUGCGAACCAGUGACACCAUAUGCUCAUACCAAAUUCGAACUCCACAAAUUGAAACACAUAACACUCAAGAUAGAAGUCAAGGGUUGUAACGGGGUUUGGGGUAUUGGCUAAUAAAGAAAGGAUAGGAAUAACAAUUGUUCUUAAAGCGAUAGCAAGCAAAGCAAUGAAAUAGACACUUUGGAAUUCACUUUAGAAUGCAAAAUCAACUUUUAAAUACAAAGGGAAGAUUCAUGCAACACUUAGGGCUCUUUUUCACAACUUUUCUUCUUUUCAUUCUAUUUUCCACGAAUUUUUUUUUCUUUUUCUUUUCUACCCGUGCCUUAUUAAGGACUUUGGCACACACACACACACAAGAAUCACUUCCCCCACACUUGUUUUUCUGCAAAAGUUCAACAAAAGGAAUUCCUUCUAAAUUAUGUUUUACUAUGCUUCAAGAACAAGGGUAUGGAUGGUCCUAAUCUAGGCUAGGUGAGGAUAGUGUGGGUUAACAAAGAACAUAGGCUACACAAGGCUCAAUGGGGUUAAACUUAAACACAUAACGAAAUAGGGCACGGCAAUUUGGCUGUGGUGGUCACUACACAACUUCAUCUUGAAUAUGUAUUAUGCAAAUCAAUAACAUGCUUUGAAUGAAAUAGGCAUGAGUUCUAGCAUUUGGAACUAAUUGAUGAAACGCCUUCUAAGUAGCAACCAAGCAAAGAAUAAUGAGAUCAUGCAACGACUUUAGAAAACAAUGAUGCACAUAUUAUUAACUCUCCAAAUAAACGUUUAGGCUCAAGUCUCACAAGGUUGUAGCGUACAUUUGAGUUCCUUCUUUCAAGCAUGUUACAAAACUGAUUUUUUCCUUUAUGAUUGCAUGUGAAUUCAUAAAUUAUAACCACAACCAAGCAUACACCAAAGAGUAAAUCAAAAUUUCAUCCAUGUUUAUAACUUUCUUUAACAAUCAUGCAAUUAAAAACCAAAUCCUCAUCAUUGUGUUGGAAGGUACCCUAAGACACAAAUUAACAUACAAAAACAACUCUUUUUGGGUUUUUCAAAACAAUUUUUCAAAUUUUUAUGUCAAAACACACUGAAACACUCCAAAACAGCUUUAAAACACUUAAAACAGCAAGGUACAACACUAGAAGUAAUGGGUGAUAAACUCCUACGAAUUUCAUGCAAAAUGGUUACCCCCCCCAACACUUAAAUCAAACAUUGUCCUCAAUGUUUCAAGCAUAAACUCACAUAAACAAAUAACGAAUAAACAUGACAAGUAUGGCAAAGUAAAAAUUAGACAGAGUAGAGUUUAAGAACGCAAAUCUGGUUUUGGAGAUAGAUGAUCUUGUUAUCUUUCCACAGCUUUGAUCUCAAACUGGUUUGGAAUUUUGAGCGAGGAAUAUGAGAGUUCCUUGGUUUCAAAUCAGACUCCUUCUGCUGGGUUGAUUUGAUUGUGCAGUCUGCAUUCUUCUCUGCUUGUUUCUUUUGCACGGCGGGCAGGCACGAGGUAGAGGUGUUAGUCUAUUUCUUUCUUCAAUCUUUCCAAGUGCCCACCUCUUGCUUUCUUUCUCAUUGUCCCUAGCUGAGGAUGAAUUGGUAAAUUGUCUCCACAUGCUUCGAGGUAUCAUUUUUACUUCCCUUAUCUGUUCCCCAGGCAGAUGUGGUAGACGAAGAGGAAGCAUAAAAUGAUGAAGAUGAGUACUCGAGAGCAAGGCUAGGUAAGCAAUCAGGAAGGGGUUCCAGGCAGUCGGUUCCAUAUCGGAAGAUUAAUACCAAGUGCUGGCUGAUUGCCUUUUUCUCCUUGUCCCAAAACAACGACAAGGAGAAGGACAGGGAGAAAGCAUGAUAUAAGAUACUCUUGCUUUCAACCUUCAUGAUACGAAAUACUUUUGCUUUGGAUGAGUUGUUUGCAGAGGUACCCCAAGGAAUAAGAAACACUGAGUAACUCGAGAGGGUUUGUUGGAAAGGCAUUCUCAGGGAAGAAGAAAGGUUAUGUAUGUUUGCCUUGCAAUGGAGGGUGAAUGGUGACAUUUAUAGGAAUUAAUAACCGAUACUAUUCUUUCACUCUUGUCAGCAACCGUUGGAUGAUUUAAUAGUAAACUUCACGUGCUUUCUACUUCACAAGAGAUCUUUGACAGAUUGCCCGUAAUUUUUGCAAAGCUGAUUGUGCGUGUGACAGGAGCUGACACAUCUGGAAAAGCAAGUGCCUCUUUGAUAUCUGGAAUCAGUGCUUCGACAAACUGCCUGUGAUUUCCGCAAAGUUGACUCUGCAUGUGACAGAUGUUGACACGUCUAGAAAAGUAAAUGGUUGGAAUCGACGCUUCGACAAAUUGCCCGUGGUUUCUGAGCAAGCCCAGCUUUUGAGAAAGCUAGCGCCUCUUCGAUUUUUGAAUUGGCCUCUUUGAAUUCUGAGCUCGCCUCUUCGAUCUCUGAAAUCCCGUCGAAUGCUGAUUUAAAUAGAGGCACACAGUUCGUUUUAAAGCAUACUUAAAUUUCUGCCUGUUAAAAACUUUCUUCUUGCACUUCUAAGAUCUUGACUUGUCGGACCUCUUCUUUCUUCAACACCUUUGAAAAUGUCUGGCCCUUCCGACAGUCGUUUUGACUUGAACCUUGGUGAGGAGGCUGCCAUGCCUUCUCCAGACAACAUAUGGCGCUCAUCCUUCAUUUCCCCUACUGGUCCUCUUACCGUUGGGGAUUCUGUGAUGAAGAAUGACAUGACCGCUGCGGUGGUGGCCCGGAACCUUGUCACUCCCAAAGAUAACAGACUACUUUCCAAACGUUCUGAUAAGUUGGUUGUUAAGGAUUCUCUGGCUCUCAAUGUGCAGUGUGCAGGUUCUGUGUCUAAUAUGGCCUAACGCCUAUUUGCUCGAACCUGUCAAGUUGAAUCAUUGGCAGCUGAAGUGAUGGGUCUCAAGCAGGAGAUUAGAGGGCUCAAGCAUGAGAAUAAACAGUUGCACAGGCUCGCACAUAACUAUGCUACAAACAUGAAGAGGAAGAUUGACCAGAUGCAGGAAUCUGAUGGUCAGAUUUUACUGGAUCAUCAGAGAUUUGUAGGUAUGUUCCAACAGCAUUUCCCUUCGUCUUCUGGGGCUGUACCGUGUACUGAAGCUCCAAAUGAUCAGCCUCCGAUACUUCCUCCUUCUGGGGCUCCGCCGACUUCUGAGGCUCUACCGACUACUGAGACUUCUUCUAAGAAACCUUUGUGAAGGCUCUCUCUCUUAUAUUUUUCUACCUCCUGUUCAUUUUCAAUGAAUUUUAAUGUAAAAAUACCUUACAUAUCUGUCAAUGUUUCAAAAAUAAACCCACACCCAAAAAUAAUUAAAUAAGCAACAAAUAAAAAUGACAAUCAUGGCAAAAUAAAAAUGCAGAAAAUGGAAGGUUUUUAGAAACGCAAAACUGAUUGUGAAGCGAUUCAUAGAUCUUCCUUAUUUGAACACAUGGGUUGCCUCCCAAGAAGCGCUUUCUUUAACGUCUUGCAGCCGGACAAUACCUCAUUUUAAACUCCAUUAGGGCUCACGGCAUGGAGGGGUAUUUCCUCCACCAUAUGCUCCUCAAACAGGUCGUAAUAGGGCUUCAAACGAUGCCCAUUCACCUUAAAUUCAUGACCGGUUUUCAUGCUUUGGACUUGGACUGCACCAUGGGUAAAAACAUUAGUAAUAACAAAUGGUCCAAUCCACUUAGAGCGUAACUUACCAGGGAAUAACCGAAGGCGAGAAUCAAAUAGUAGCACUUUCUGCCCCUUGGAAAAUGUCUUUGUACGAAGCAUCUUGUCGUGAUACGCCUUGGUCUUAUCCUUGUAAAUCCGAGCAUUCUCGUAUGCCUCGUGCCUAAUCUCCUCAAGUUCAUUUAAUUGGAGCUUUCUAUGCACCCCGGCGGUAUCUAUAUCCAUGUUGAAGGUCUUUACAGCCCAAUGUGCCUUGUGCUCUAACUCGACGGGAAAAUGACAUGGCUUACCAUAGAUGAGCCGAAAAGGGGACAUGCCAAGGGGAGUUUUGUAAGUCGUACGAUAAGCCCACAAUGCAUCGUCUAAGCGCAAGCUCCAAUCCUUCCUUGUUGGCCUCACAGUUUUCUCAAGGAUUUGCUUGAUCUCUCUGUUUGAAACCUCGGCUUGCCUAUUGGUCUGAAGAUGAUAAGGUGUUGAAACCUUAUGUGUAACGUUGUACUUUUUGAGCAAAGCCUCAAUGGUUCGAUUACAAAAGUGGGAGCCUCUAUCACUAAUGAGAACUCUAGGCAUUCCAAACCUAGCAAAAAUGAUAGUUUUCACAAAAUCUGUAACAACCUUAGAAUCGUUAGUACGAGUGGCUUUUUCAACAGCUAGCAAGAUAUAAGUGAAACCAUAAGAUGGAGGGAAAUGACCCAUGAAAUCAAUACCUCAAACGUCAAAAAUUUCAACAAAAGAUAGGGGUUGCUGCGGCAUUUGAUCCUUGGUACCUAUGUUUCCCAUUCUUUGGCACCGAUCACAUGUUAGACAAUAAGUUCUAGCAUCUUUAAACAACGUGGGCCAAUAAAAUCCACAUUCAAGAACCUUUAAUGCCGUUCUUUGAGUUCCAAAAUGUCCACCACAAGCAUAAGUGUGACAAAAUCUUAGGAUCGAAAGAAAUUCACAAUCAUGCACACAUCUACGUAAAAUCUGAUCAGAGCAAUACUUCCACAAAUAGGGAUCAUCCCAAACAUAGAAACGUGCAUCUUUUCGAAGUUUAUCACAUUGGUGCUUGGUGAGAGUGCUAGGAACUUGUUUAGACACUAAGUAAUUCACUAGAUCGACAUACCAUGGUUCACUCACCUCAAUGGACAGUAGCUGCUCAUCGGGGAAAGUUUCAGGGAUAGGCACGUCAUGCUCAUGCUCCUCAUGGACCAUUCGGCUUAAGUGGUCAACCACCACAUUCUCGCUUCCUUUCUUGUCUCAGAUUUCGAUGUCAAACUCUUGAAGAAUAAGCAUCCAACGAAUAAGCCUCGGUUUUGCUUCCUUAUUUGUUAGUAAGUACUUUAAAGCUACAUGAUCAGUAUAAACAAUCACUUUAGUUCCAAUUAAGUAAGAUCGAAAUUUAUCUAAAGCAAAGACAACAUCUAGAAGUUCUUUUUCCUUUGUUAAGUAGUUCAAUUGGUCAUCAUUGAGAGUCUGAGAGGCAUAGUAUAUAACAUGCGGUUGCUUGUCUUUUCUUUGCCCCAAAACAGUGCCUAAUGCAUAGUCGGAUGCAUCGCACAUAAGCUCGAAAGGAAGGCUCCAAUCGGGAGGAACAAUGAUAGGGGCCGAAGUGAGCUUCUCCUUGAGCUGCUUGAAUGCUGAUUCACACUCCUCAUCAAACUGGAAGGGCACAUCUUUUUGAAGCAAUCGGUAAAGGGGGUUUGACAUCUUGGAAAAAUCCUUGAUGAAACGCCUAUAGAACCCUGCAUGGCCAAGAAAUGAACGAACCUCUCUAACCAAAGUAGGAGAGGGUAAGUGACGUACAAGGUCUAUUUUUUAUUUAUCAACUUCAAUUCCUUUUUCUGAAACAAUAUGGCCUAAAACUAUACCUUGUUUAACCAUAAAGUGGCAUUUUUCCCAAUUCAACACAAGGUUAGUUUUAACACAUCGUUUCAAGAUCAAGGUCAGAUUAUCCAAACAAUUAUCAAAAGAUUCUCCAAAUACACUGAAAUCAUCCAUAAAUACCUCAAUUAUCUUCUCAACAUAAUCGGAGAAUAUACUUACCAUACACCUUUGGAAAGUGGCAGGUGCGUUGCAUAAGCCGAAUGGCAUGCGACAAUAGGCAAAAGUUCCAAAGGGACAUGUGAAUGUGGUCUUCUCUUGGUCAUCCGGUGCUAUCACAAUUUGGUUAUAUCCAGAAUAUCCAUCAAGAAAACAAUAAAACGCACGACUGGCUAACCUUUCAAGCAUUUGGUCGAUGAAUGGCAAAGGAAAGUGAUAUUUCCUUGUUGUAGCGUUUAGCUUCCUAUAGUCAAUACAAACACGCCAUCCGGUUUGAAUUCGUGUAGGUACCCACUCGUUCUAAUCAUUCUUGACAACGGUAACUCCAGAUUUCUAGGGAACGACUUGAACUGGUGAAACCCAAUGGCUAUCGGAGAUAGGAUAGAUCAUGCCACAAUCUAAGAGCUUGAUUAUUUCCUUCUUCACAACUUUCAUCAUAGGAGAGUUGAGAUGGCGUUGAGCCUCUCGGGAUGGUUUAGUCCCCUCUUCAAGAAGUAUGCGCUGCAUGCAAGUGGUGGGGCUAAUUCCCCUAAUGUCGGCUAAGGUCCACCCUAUGGUUGUUUUGUGCUCUCGUAGCACCCUCACAAGCUUUUCUUCCUCAUGUGCCGUGAGGCUUGAAGAAACAAUGACGGGCAAUGUCUCGUCAUCUCCCAAAAACACAUGCUUCAAAUGGUCCGGCAAUGGCUUAAGUUCAAGAGUAGGUGCCUGAACAAUAGAAGGUAACAUCUUAGUAGAAACUAAACUUGAAAUUAAGAGCGGAACCUUACCAUAUUGUUAUGGAAGUGACUCAAGGACAGCCCAAAUCUGGCCGUGGGUUUGCAUUGCCCCAAGUUCGCGGUUUUUGAAUUCUAUGCCCUUCGUAAUGGCUAUUUCAAGGGCAUCCUCGUUCAAUUCCUCCAGAUACUCCUGCGCCAAAGAAUCAAUAACAUCAAUAGAAAAGUAAGAGUGAUCAUCAACGGGAUAUCUCAUAGUUUCAGAAAUAUUAAAAUCGAUAACUUCCCCAUCGAAUUCCAUCGUCAAAAUUCCCUUGAAUACAUCAAUCUUUGUACAGGCUGUCUUCAUGAAUGGCCUACCAAGGAGAAUCGGCAACGAGGUGGAAUGGACUGAAUCUUCCAUGUCUAAAAUGUAAAAAUCAGCCGAAAAGAUCAAAUGGUUCACCUGCACUAAAACAUCCUCCAAAACACCUUUUGGGUAUGCGUUAGAACGAUCAGCCAAUUGUUUAAUCACACCAUCCUUUUUCAAUUCACCCAAGUUCAUAGAUGCAUAAAUAGAGUAAGGCAUGACAUUUAUAGAUGCACCUAAAUCUAGCAUUGCAUUUUCAAAUCGAGUAUUGCCAAUCACACAGGGAAUCGUAAAACUUCCUGGGUCUUUGCAUUUAGUGGGCAGUUUACGUUGCAAUACGGCUAAAACAUUUUCACUUACCUUAACUACCUCUUUGUUCGACAUUCUUCUCUUGGUUGUGCACAACUCUUUGAGAAAUUUGGCAUAUUUCGGGACUUGCUUAAUUGCAUCCAAAAGUGGUAUAUUGACUUGAACUUUUCUAAAUGUUUCCAAAAUAUCCUUUUCAGCCUCCUCCUUCUUUGAUUGCAUAAACCUAUGAAGAAAGGGUACAUUUGGAGGAACAACGUUAGAAUUAAUCAAAAUUGGAACUUUCUUACCUUUGUUGGCUGAAUUGGAUGGUUUAGGAGCAUUUGGGGCCUGCGGCAAAGGUGUUUCCACCCUUUCCAUAGGGGUGCUUUGCUCCUUCUCUUCAAUUAUCAACUCUUCAACCUCAUUGGAACGUGAUUAGGAAGUUUGGGGAUCAUAUCCAACUGGUUUUCCACUUCGCAAACUCAUGACUUUGGCAGAUUCGAAUCCUCCAUUCGGGUUGACAACGGUUGAACUAGGCAACUUACCUUGCUCCCUAAAUUGUCCCACAAACUCCGCAAUCUACCCAAUUUGCUUCUCCAUUUGGUCCACCCUUUUGUCUUGGUUUUGCAUUGCUUUGGCUUGAUUUUCUUGCCCCUAAGACAAAUUGGUGAGUAACUUAAGAAGUAUCUCAUUAUCUAAAGAUGUACCUGAGGUAUUUUGGGCAGGUUGUUGUGGGGCUUGUGUUGGUGCGUAUUGCUUGGUAUAGAAGCCUGGAGGUUGCUGCCUAAAGCCUCCUUGUUGUUGGGGUUGUUGGGGCUCCUUCCAUUUGAAAUUUGGAUGGUCUCUCCAACCUGGAUUGUAUGUAUUAGAAUAUGGAUCGUUCCUUGGCUAGUUUUGGCCUUGAAAUCCAAUUGCAUUGGCGCUUUCCCAUCCACCAUUUUCAAUCAAUUGAGGGAACUUUUCAGAGGCAUGUUCUUGGAUAGAACACACACCACAUACACUUGGUUCUUUAAUCCUCAUUCCUUCGGCCAUCUGAGACACAAUGGAAGUAAGAUUAGCUAAUUGCGAUUAGAUGUCGGAUGUGGAACUUACCUCAUUCACUUGAUGUCGUGGGGUGUCCCUUUGACCAACGCCUUUAUAUUGUUGAGCAUUCAAUGCUCGGUUAGCAAUUAAGGUCUUGGCAGCCAUGGGCGUUUUGUCCACCAAAGCUCCUCCAGCUGAGGCGUCUAGCAUUUGGCGUUCAAUUGGUAGAAGCCCUUCAUAGAAAUAUUGAAGAAGAAGCUCCUCCUUCAUCUGAUGCUGUGGACAUAAAGCAACAAGGGUUUUAAAACGCUCAUAGUAAGUGGAAAGGAUUCACCUUGGUUUUGUUGAAUGCCACUAAUCCUUUUGCGUAGUAGAAUGACUCGAGAAGUUGGAAAAAAUUUCUCCAAAAAUGCCCGUUUCAUACUCUCCCAUGAUGUGACAGUUCCGGGGGCUAGCUCAUACAACCAAUCUUUAGCCUUUUCUAAGAGAGAAAAGGGAAAAUCCUUCAUUUUCAGAAUGCUCCCAUCAACGUUUACAGGGGUCAUGCUCGAGCAAACAACCUCAAACUCUUUCAAGUGUUUAUUAGGAUCUUCCAUGGACAUCCCGUGGAACUUAGGAAUGUGAUGCAACAAACUUGAUUUCAAUUCGAACUCAUCCGUCUUCCCUAAGGUAGUCAUGGGGUAUUGGAUGCAUAGGGGAGCAGCAUUGUCCAAUCCUGAAGCGGAAAGCUCCUUGAUUGUUCGAUUGUCCACUGCCAUGUUGGAAUCUUCCUCUACAACGUGUGUCGUGGGCUCCUUUUGCACUUCUACUUUGUCUUCUCCAAGAUCUGGUGCAGGUUGAGAUGGUUGGGGUUCUUGUUGAGUCCUUGCUCGUCUCAAAGUUCGUUCAAAAUUGUCGUCAAAGUCACGGAUGUGCUUAUGAAUAGGUUGAGAACUUCGAGUCAUAAACCACCAAAAACAAGAAAACAAGUAAAGUCAUCAACUAGGAACACAAACACAUGAAAAUAAACAAAAAUAAAUAACAAGGGAUUAGCAAAAUUGCUAAUCCCCGGCAACGGCGCCAAAAUUUGAUGCGAUGAAAGUUAAGCACUCAAAUUAAACCCUCUUGUUGUCAAAUUGUAGUAAUAAUGCAAGUAGGGAUCGUUCUAAACCGGGGAUUAGGAGGGCUUGCUAAAACCUCAAAACUAACUCAAAAACAUAAAAACAAAGUUAAAGACGUUUGAAUAGACUUAAAAAACUCAAAACAGGUUCACAAGACUCAAAAUAACUUAAAGACACUCAAAACUGCCUAAAAACACAAACUAGGCAGUUUCUGACUCUAACACAACUUUGGACGAAAUUUGGGUUUUGACUUGACUCAAAACACUCUACAACACAAACAAAACAGAUUUUAAACACUUUGAAACAAGAAAGUAAAAGGGGGAUUUUAGUUUUGAUGAAUUUGAAACAAACAAACAAGUUAUAAAACUAGGCAGAUUGUAAAACGAAUUUAAGAAAUAAGAUGAUGGAUGGAUUAGUUAGAGGUCCGUUCUUCACACAUGACACACUUGUGUAUGAAUUGAUUUCCAAUUGCUUUUCAAUAAACUAUUAUGCUCAACACCCCAGAUUAACCGUGAAGCACAAAUUAACCCUCAGAUUGUCCUUUACUCAUUGAAUCGGAUGAAUGCAUGCGACAACCCAAAUCAUUCUCUAAAAGUCCCCUAUAUGAAUGCAUAAUAGAGAUACAAUCAGAGAUCAUUACGUUCAAUGAAAAUCAUAAGUGUUGACGGGGCAAUUAUAACUAUGAAUGCAUGAUACAAUUGCCAAGAAUUAAAUUAACGCGAUUGUGAUAAAUAACCUUCACUACUCAUGAAUAUAAACUUGUAACGAUUAGGUGAAACUCAUUUAUAUUCUAGCAUCUAAUUCAUGCAUGAAAACUAAGUAUGCAUCCUUAAUAAACAUACAAGAAUCAGUUAUGAAUAAAAUAGAUAAUUGAAUUGCAAUCACAACUUAUCAAAUCACAAUUGGAAGAAAUCAAUUCAAAUCUCAAGCAUGUUCAUGGCUUCAAACUUCCCCCUAACUAAAUAGGGGUUUAGCCACUCAUAAUUGCAACAAAAUUAGAAAAUAACAAAGUAGACAUUGAAAGCAAGAACGAAGUACACCUAAAACGCUCCAAAGUUCCAAGCUUGAAACACCAAGGACCUUUGUUUUCACCACCUUGUUGUAGCACAAGUGUCUAGGAUGUGUAUGGAUAUAUGGAUGGAAUGGAUUUGCACGGCUAAGAGAUGAAAGUGUAUGGAUUGGUGAGAUGUAGUAUGGCUAGAUGAAUGGAUGGAGGUCACUACAAGGAAAUUGUGUUUGUGAAUGAAGCUCUUUUGAUGGAUCAAGAUUGUCCUUAGGAAGGGGAAUGGUGGAUGUAUUUAUAGGCUAAGGAGAGGACCACUUCAAUUCCUUGCAUGUGCAGUUUGUAUGGGUGUGUGAUGUCCAUGUUUCCCUUUACAUUUGUACACACAUGACCUCCAUCAUUUCAGCCACAAAGCAACCCAUUUUCUGUCCAUGUGUGUGUGUUUCCUUUGCCCAUGUGUGUGUGUUUUUCCUUUGCAUUUGCACACAUAUAUUCUUCAUUAUUUCAGCCAACAAUCCACCCAUUUUCUGCCCAUGUCAAACUGUCCAUGCCAUGCCUUUCUCUUUGUGUGUGUGCUGUCCAUGUUUCUUCCAUGUGCCUUGUUCAUCUUCUAGCUGUGCAUUUCCACUUGCUCCAAAGCCAAAUGAGUGCAAUCAUAACCCCAUUUGCUGCUGAGUGUUGAUGACAAAGCAAAACACAAAACAAGUGCCUUUACGUUCUCACUUUAUUAGCCAAAUCUGCUUAGCCCUUUUCUGAACCUUUCAGUGUUACAAUGCCCAUAACUUCUUCUAGAAACAUGAUAUUAACAAUCCAUAAAUUGCUCCAGAAAAUAGACAUCUGUAGCUUUCCAAGCAUAUAAGGCUCAUUCUCUCAUUCAUUCUGAGCUAUUCGUAAUAUGCUUCCAAAGUCAGCUAAUCUGCACAGGCAAUUUUGACGAAUUUGUUACUUAAUAACUCACUUGUGCUACUUUUCUUUUCUUUGCUUGAUAAAUCACACAAAACACAAAAACAUAGUAAAUAGCUCAAAAAUAUAAGGAACUAACUAAGAAAAGACAAGUGAAUUUUAUGUAAAAUAUAUAUAAAUAUGAGCUUAUCACUUAUCACCAAGUACUUUGUAUUUUCUUUGUGUUUAUGCCAAGAGACAAUCCUAAACUAAUCGGAUCUAUUGAAAGACAAAAAGUAAUUCAAGUAAUGAUACAAAGGAAAGACAGGGAAGUAAAGGAUGAUUAGAUGUUCAUCAAAUGUUAAUUAACAAGAAAGUAAAUUGCAUGUAAGGUUAAUAAUUGGGUAAAUUACAUUUUACCCCCUCAUGUUUGGGGUCGAUUUCAAUUCUUUACAACAUCUUUAAAACAUUUCACUUUCAUACCUUACCUACUAUUUUAUUUCAAUAUAGUACAUCCGUUACAUUUUUCAUUAAUUGAUCCGUUAAGAGCUGACGUGACUGUCAUAUUUGUGCUGACAUAACUGCCAAAUUUGUGUCACGUGGCAAUUUUUUUUUAUUCAUUUAAAAUAUUAUAAUAAUUUACCCUAUUUAUUAAAAUAAAAAAAAUAAUAAAAAAAAAACUUGAGGGGGUAAAAAAAAAAAGAAGAUAUAUUUUGUCCUUAAAGAACAGUGGGCCUCACCCCUACCACUUUACCCAAUAUACACGCUAUCCUCAAUUUGUACUCGUGUUGCGUUAUUUGCAAUGAAUAUCUAAUAUCGUCUUUCUCUCAAAAAAAAUUAUUUGGUAAUAGAUCAAGUAAAAUUUAUAACAUUAACGAUAAUAAGAAAAUCUCACAAUUAAAAUAAAUAAAUAAAUAAAACUUCAAUUUUUUAAACUUAUAUAGAAUAAAAAUACAAUAAUACAUAUUUAAUAUACAAUAUAUACACUAUGGUUGUUGUAUUUUAUAGUAAGUUUUUUAUUUAGUAGUUUAACUUUAAAAUCAUCAAAAUAAUUUUUUUCUUAACAGUUGAAAUUUGUUACCCACAGGUUACCUGAGCGUAAACCCAUUAAGGACCCGUUUUUAAUGGGUGAUUCAAUAAUGACCCGAUUAGUUAUAAUUUUGACUCGAAACUCGUUAUUUUAGUGUCGUUUUCAUAUCGUGUUAACGGAUCGUGUAAGAAACUAUCAGGUUUUAUAAUAACAUGCAUGCAUUUGUGUCAAAAUAUGUAAGAGUUUCCAUCACACACAAUGUUGACUAAGAUAUUAGAAGAAAAAAAAAACUUUGCUAAUCGGCGAGGCCCAUUCGAUCUUCAAAUCCUGGAAAUCUGCGUGGUUUCUUCUACUAUAUCUCUUUAGCUAGUUAUCUGCAGUAUAGUGCACGCCAUACAUAUCUUAAUUUUUCGCUAUAUUACCAGCUAGCUGUUGGCGUAUUUUUCCUGCUAUCAACUUACUUGCACAUUUCUACUUUUCAUUUUCUCCAUAUAUAGUUGCACAAGUCAAACUAGCACAUUUUUGGGUUUUGUGCUUUCACGACUCUCCAUACUUGCUCCUACAUCUUUCUUACUACACAAGUAAGCAUACAAUUGAGUUCAUUAAUUACUGGUUUAAGUGGUUGAACAAAAGAGAAAGUUUGAUUUGGACAUAUAUACUACGUCACCAUGGCCAUCAAUUGUUAACUGGUUCUUUAUCCAUGACAUUGACAAAUUAACAAAUGAGUUUUUUUAUUAGCGUCCUACAUAUUAUUGAAUACACUCCAUGUCCAUAUAAAAAUUAAUUAUUCAUAUUUAUUUAGCUUAAGACGUAUUUAAACUAUAUUAUUAUUGCUGAUUCAUUGUGUGGCUUAGCUCAAUCCCUUAUUCUUAAAUGUAAAUAAUAUCAUUGUACUAAAACCAAAUGACUUAUAUAUCUCAGUAUAAAAUGCCAACAACAUUUAAGUGACGUUGGCGACUUGGCAUAGUUCAUACAUCAAUCCCAAAACCCCUAAUUAACAGAAACUCCCAAAUUGAACACUAGACGCAAACCUAGAUUUGCAGAAAAAAUCUAAGAAUUAUUUAGGCUAAUGAUAUGGAAAUUGAAUAGAAAUGGGAGGAAAAUUUCGUUUCUCUUGUGCUGAGAUGUUUCAUAUUCAUGUUUGUGAUUAUUCAUCCGUAUUCGUUUGAUGUUUGAUUAGUGUUCAUGUAUUUACUUGAUACUCGGAUUGCCUAGUUCUUUAUAACUAGUUUUUAUUAUAGUACAUGACAAUGACUAAUUGACAAAUUCAAGUGUUUUAUUAGUACUAGUGUUUAUGCAUUUACACAAAUUAUUUAACAGUCAUAUGUAAUUAAAAAUGAUAUAUUCUUUUUUUUUUUUUUGGUUGCUUACUUAAUUGUUAGAUGUUAAAUAUGUUAAAUAAAUGCUACUUAGUACUACGGUCUAGUAGUAUUUCUCUUCACUUGUAAGUGAGAGGUCUUAGAUUCGAUUCUCGCCAAAAACGAAUUUAACCACAUUAUUGCUAGCAUAUUGUAAGGCUAAGUCCACUCUUUUCUCUUAGUGUAGACAAUAUCGGUUGUUCGAAAAUGAAUAAAUAUAUAUAUAUAUAUAUAUAUGUAUGUAUGUAAGUGUAUAUAAUGUGUGUACCGUAAUUAGUCUCAUAUCGUUGACUCUCUAUUUCCAACGAAAACAAAAGGUUGAAACGAGAGGUGUAGGUAUGGUGAGGGACCAGAUGUAUGUAUUACAACUUAGCACCAAAUGUGUCCUUUUGGUUGUCUUCAUUUUGUUUAUUUUCCGAGUAUAGUUUGACUUUAACAAAAAAGAUAAGAGUUGUGUUUUUGGGUUUUCCCAUCAUAAGAGUUGUCUUUUUCAAUUGAAAGUUACUUUUCUUAAAACAAUUGGUAUUCGGAGGAGGUUUAAAUUCGAGAACUUUUUCAAUAUUGAAAAAAUAAGUAAUAGGUUGUUUGCUUGUGCCACAAACAAAUUGAACUUUUUAAUCAUAAGAUUGUGUCAUAGAGGAGUUUAAUCUAUAGUUUUAAGUUUUUUCCUAUGCCUUGUCACCAAGGACUUUGUAUUUUUUUGGUGUUUAUGCCAAGAGACAAUCCUAAAAUAAUCGGAUCUUAGUUUGGAACUGCAAAGUAAGUUGAAAGACAAAAAGUAAUGCAAGCAAUGAUAGAAAGGAAAGACGGGGAAGUAAAGGAUGGUUAGAUGUUCAUCAAAUGUUAAUUAACAAGAAAGUAAAUUGCAUAAAAGGCUAAUACUUUGAAAAGAAAUGACAAAUACAAGUGUUCAGGCAACGUUAAAACUUAUUUAGGCAAAAAUUGACUACAAACUUAUUCAGGAAAAAAUUGACUACUAGUAGGCAAAUUCUUGCAAGCAAGGGAAAUUUGUUUAGAAAGGAAGUUAAUACAAAAAAGCGAUUCUACAAGUGAUAUUGCAGAUCUAUAAAGAAAAAGGAAAACUAACAAAAAGAUCUUGAAAACUUUGAGUUUUAAUGAUAAUGACAAAAUAAAGGGUAAAGUGAAUAGUACCAUGAUUGACUUUUUAGAGUAAAAAUGUGGUUUUUCGUUAAAGUGAACAGUACUGGGAGUUUUUCGUUAAAAUUCCCUAAAGAAAAUGAGUGUCUGAACAACAAAAAGAAUUUGUAACAAGUAGGUUUGCAGAGCUUUGAAGUCUUUUUGUGUUGAGUGUCUUUUUGUGCUGAGCUUUGAUCUCUUCCACCAAGAUCAUCGGAUCAAGUGAUUCGAACCCUUGAAAUUUGAUCCAAUGGCUAAAAAUAGGGGUCCCCUUUAAAAGUUAUAAUAAUUUUAGCUAUUAGACCAAAUUUCAAGAGUCCGGAUCACUUGAUUCGAUGACCUUAGUGAAAAAGAUUCCUUUAUACUUCCCUCUUAGUUCAUUCCUUAUGAUCCAAUAAGUUGCUGAUUUGACUACUGCCAAAGGAUGAGUUUUCAUCUCGUAGCUCGAGUUUUUGUCCCUUUGAAACUACAAUUUUUCCACCAUAUAGCAACUGUCCUCUGUGAAAAUAAAAAAAAAAUCAACUGAAUUACCUUCUUUCGAUGUGAAAAAGGGUAUAUUUACCGUCCACUUCGCUACAUCAUAAAGUACCUUUGAAAACUUGGACCGCACUAAGUCAUUAGUUACAGGUCAGUGGGUUGGGCUAGAACGUGCCUAACAAAUGUUUUCAGUCCAAACAACUCGACCUUAAAGGUGCCUAACAAUUUGUGUGACUUUUUCAGUAAAUUAAAAUCAAUAUUUGAUACUCUUUGUUUGUUAUCUUUUUAAUCUCUUUCCUUAUUUUGGUUAUACUUGUAUUAAAAAAAUGAUUAUGCUUGACAUUAGUAUACUAUCUUAUGAUUUUAGAAUGAUAACCGAAUUUGAUCGUAAAUAUCAAAUUUAUAAUAAUAUUCAUAAAAAUGAUUAUUAUUGAUGCGUAAGAUUUAAGAAAACAAACUCAAUUAAUUAAUUUAUUUUAUUACAAUCAAAAUAAACUUACUUUCUACACAAUAACUUCUUAAUAACAAACAUUUAAGGAAAUAGUUAACUUUCUAUCUAUAUAUAUCCAAAGGAAGGUGAUCACAUUAAGAAAACAGUUAAGUUUCUAUCAAUAUAUACAGAAAGGAAGUUCACCUAUACAUUCGCCCAUUGAAAGCAUAGUUACGUUUCUAUAUACAGCUCUCUCUCUCUCUCUCUCUCUCUCUCUCUCUCUCUCUCUCUCUCUCUCUCUCUCUCUCUCUCUCUCCAUUGAAAGCAGAGUUACGUUUCUAUAUGCAGCUCUCUCUCUCUCUCAAAAAGUGAUGAUAUAAAUAGGGUAGUGCUAUCCACACUCAUUUUUGCUUAACACACACCCUUCUUAAUUUUCGACCAUCAGAUCAAAUAAAUUGAAGAAGAUCAUUGACUAAAAAUUAACAAGGUAUGUAGGAGGUAAAAAUGAGUAUGCGAAUUACACUUCCUAUAAAGAUACAUUGUGACUUAUAAAUUGCUUGCAUGCGACAGGUACUUGAUAAGAAGAACGAAAUAAAGAAUAUUGAAAAAUGUGGAAGCUUAAGGUCGCAGAUGGUGGCAAUGAUCCAUACAUCUACAGCACAAACAACUUCGUGGGUAGGCAGAUAUUUGAGUUUGACCCUGAAGCAGGAACUACCGAACAGCGAGCUGAGGUGGAAGAAGCUCGUCUUCAUUUCUACAAUAAUCGCUAUCAGGUUAAGCCCAAUAGUGACCUCCUAUGGCGAAUGCAGGUAUACUUUAAUUAGUUCGUCCAAACUUAUAAUGUUGUCAAUUAGUUUACUUUGGAGUAUUUUUCAAAUAUAGCCAAAAAUUAACUCUUAAUUUCAAAAAUGUCACUUUUUAUAAAAACUUUCAAAUAUAUCCAAAAUUUAACUUAUAUAGACACAAAUACCCUCAAAUUUAACAAUUAAAUAAAUUAAAGGCUUUUUAGCUACUGUCGUCUCAAGCUCCGGUCUAACUUUUGCUUCUACACUCCACCACCACAACCCUAUUCCCUUCGACCCCCUCAUCACUGACAUUGAGCGCCGUCGCGGUUACUGCAAGUAGGAGCAGCAGAAUUUCAAUCAUGCCUUCAACGCCUUUUUUCUUAUUAAUAUCAUUUUUAAUUUUAAAUAUAAAAAUAAUUUUUGAAGUUAAUCCACAUGUCGUUAUAUGAUUGUAUUUGUGAGACCCACGUGAUGCCACAUCAUCACACUAAAAGAGCAAUUGAUAGAUUUUUCACAAUAGAAAAAUUCAAAAACACUACUAUUGAUUAUCAUUAAUUGUUAAGGAUCAAAUUAAGGAGUUAUGUCAAUGUCACGCAUCAUUUUGACUAAAAAGCCUUUAAUUUAUUGAUUGUUAAAUUUGAGGGUAUUUGUGUCUAUUUAGGUGGAAUUUUGGAUAUAUUUGAACGAUUUUAUAAAAAGUGACAUUUUUUAAAUUAAAGGUUAAUUUUUGGUUAUAUUUGAUAAAUAAUCGCAAAUAUAAGCCACAAUUUGACAAGAAUAACAUUUCCCACCAAUAUGAACCUAUGAUACUUAUUUGAUCAUGUUUCUACUAAAUGUUAGACCUGGCAUUCAUGUCAUGUUUUUCGUGUUCGUGUCAUUUUCGUGUCAUAUCCGAUAUCUUAACGAGCCAUCUCGUGUAACACCUGUUAAAAUAAACGGGUAAAAUGACCCGACCCGAAAUCGACCCGAUAAUAUUAACAGGUAAUAUGACCCGACCCGUUACCCGUUAAGGAUAUAUUUUAAACCAAAAAAUAAUCAAAUGAAAAACAUAAUAGUAAAUAAGUAUAUACAUAUCAUAUUGUCACAUCCAAAACAUAAAAACACAUUUUUCUUUUAAGUAUAUUUUCACUUACCUAAAGUCUUUAAUAGUUUUUUAAUUAAUGUAGGAGUGUAAAAAAAUAAAGAAAAAAUAUAUAAAUGCUCGUAAUGACAAGCUUUACAACUUUCAUAAAGAGCUUAACUUCGAAAUUCGCCACUAUAAUCAUAUAAAUCAUAGAUCAAAAUUUAACCGUUGAUUGUUGUUUACAUUUACGCUUCAUUGUUCUCAUCAAAUUUUGUUUUUUUUCAGAUUUUCUUUUUUGAAAACUUGAUCUAUUAAAGGAUGCAGGAAGAACGUUUGGAUCGUUGAUAUUAUAUUUAGAGUUUUACAAUUAGUGAAAAUAUUGCUUGAUGUUUAUAAAGUUUCUACAAACUAUAUGACAUCAACUCAUAUUUCAAUUAAUCGUAAAUAUCAAAACAUGAUAUCAAAGAUCUAAACCGUUCAUCUUCUUACAUCCGCCAGAUGAUCAUGUUUUCAAAAAAGAAAAUUUUAAAAAUGAAAUUCAAUAAGAAGAAUAAAGCAUAAAUGGCAAUCGACGGUUAAAUAUAAAUUUAAGAUUUAUGAAUUACAGUGUUGGAUUUCGAAGCUGACCCAUUCAUGAAAGUUGUAACGUUUGUCACUAUGAGUGAUUGUAUUUUUUUUUUUUUUACAUUUUUUACACUUCUACAAUAAUUAUUAUUAAUUUUAUUAAUUUUGCCCUCAAAUAAAAAACAUUAUUGAUGAAGAAUUGGAGGAUUUUAAAAAUCUAAACGAUAAUGUAAGUGUAACCACUUGUGGAGGAAUAAUGAUGAAUCACGAGUGUUUAUAUAUGCUUUCAUAUUUUUCAUACUUGUAUGUAUGUCUUCUUAGUUCUUGCAUAUACAAAAACUAUAUUAGUUUAUUUUAAUUUCUGACAACAACAUGUUAAGUAAAAUUUAUCCUAGUAAUGAUAAUAAGGAACUCUCAUAAUAAAAAUAAAUAAUGACUAAAACUUUUUUUAAAAAACUUAUUUAAUAUAGAAUAUAUUGUAUAUAUUAAUAUGGCUAUUGUAUUUUAUAAUAAAUCUUUUAGUAAUUAAACUUUAAAAUUAUCAAAAUAAUUUUUUUUCUUAACGGGGUCAAAACGGGUUACCCACGUGUUACCCGCUUGUAUACCCGUUAAGAACCCAUUAUUAACGGGUUCUGAACGGCUCACCCGAUAAUGACCCGAUAAGUUAUCGUGUUGACCCGAAACCCAUUAUUUUCGUGUCGUUUUCGUGUCAUGUCAGAAACUGUCGGGUCUACUAAAUGUGAGUUCUAGUUAUCCUGGUUCCACCCAUGUAGUUUUUAAUUAGAAACAACACAUGUGUCCACGCUAUAGGUGUACCUACUUAUCCACCACUUAUCAUUAACAUACCGUAUAAACUGUAAAAUCAGACACGUUAUUUUACUUUUUCACGUCAUCUAAAUAUUAUGUUUGCAAAAAAAAAAAAAUAAUCAAUUUAAAUGUAGAGAUUGUUUAGUCAACCAUAUGUAGGAGAGCACAAUAAGAUGAAAGUUCUAAGUUGUGUUCAUCGAACAUGAUCAAUGGUUUUGGUAACAAGUAACAUUCUCAUGAUGAAUAUACCCAUUCUUGGUACUAGGGUUUAAUGAUAUUCCUCUUCACUUACAUAUGUUUGAAUCUUGUAAUGUCGAGUUUGAUACCAAUUUACUCCCCACCCCUUAAUAUAAAUAUACUCGUUCUUGGUUGGGGGCUUUUGGGCUUCUCCCAAUCUUAUUCGUAGUUGGGGAAAAGAAAUGAGCCUUGUUCGGCAGGUGCAUAGCAAGUUGUAAAAAGAACAAACCACCAAACAAACAAACAAACAUCUACUUUUUGUCUGUCUUGUUUCUGGUACUUACAAGUUUUCAUUUCCUAUCUGAUGGGCAACACCAUAAAAAUUUUAGGGUUUAAUAACAUUUAUUUAGUAAUAAUAACAUCAUCAUAACUUUAAUCCUCUCAUUUGUAUCGCUCUUAAUUUUAUGUUCACUAACCGACAGUUACUAAGGGAGAAGAACUUCAAACAGACAAUUCCCCCGGUGAAAGUUGAUGAUGGAGAGGAAAUCACAUACGAAAAGGCCACCGUUACAUUGAGAAGGUCUAUCCACUUCUUUUCAGCUUUGCAGGCUAGUGAUGGCCAUUGGCCGGCUGAAAAUGCCGGCGUGUUGUUUUUCCUUCCUCCUUUGGUGAGCCUUUACUAUUUACUAUCAUGUUAUUUGAAUCUCAUGUUCCCGUUUUGGGGCUUAAAAAUAUAUAGCACAUAUAUUCUCAAGUUUUUACCAAAGUUCAAAUUUUAGGGGGUUACUAAUUACUUUACAAUUUCCUACUCAAAAUUUUCAGGUCAUGUGCACUUACAUUACGGGACAUCUUAACACUGUAUUCUCUACAGAACACUGCAAAGAAAUUUUGCGUUACAUAAACUAUCAUCAGGUACAUAAAUAUAUAUAUAUAUAUAUAUAUAUAUAUACGUACGUACAUAUAUACGUAUGUAUGUAUGUGUACAUAUAUAUAUAUAUGAGUGUGUGUGUGUGUGUAUAUAUAUAUUAUAUAUAAUAUAUAUAUAUAUGUAUGUAUAUAUAUAUAUAUAUGUGUGUGUGUGUAUAUAUAUUAUAUAUAUUAUAUAUAUAUGUAUGUAUAUAUAUACACAUAUAUAUAUAUACAUAUAUAUGUGUGUAUAUAUAUAUUAUAUAUAUUGGCCUUUGUUCACACAAAUUGCAUCAAAUUUUAAUUUUUCAGAAUGUGCUUAUUUGUGUUAAACUACUAACAAGGGUUGCAGUGAAGUUGCCCAAGAGUUUUCACUUCUACAUCCGAAGUCCCGCUCGAAUAAAAAAAAAACACUGAAUAAAUAAAGCUAAUUAAUACGCAUUACUUUUUCGGGUAUUUCAGAACCAAGAUGGUGGUUGGGGAUUACACAUUGAAGGACACAGCACCAUGUUCUGCACAGCUCUCAACUACAUUUGCAUGCGUAUUCUUGGAGAAGGCCCUGAUGGUGGCCAAGACAAUGCUUGUGCAAGAGCUAGAAAGUGGAUUCUUGAUCAUGGCAGUGUUACCCACAUCCCCUCUUGGGGUAAAACUUGGCUUUCGGUAUGCCUAUGUGCAACACUAAGACUAAUUGCUUUUAUUAGGAUUCAGUUAACUGUUCUUAAAUAGCACUAUCACUAUAGCAAAUCGUCAACUACAUAUUGAUACUUUAUCUAUACCCUAUAUAGCUGAAUUACAUGAGAUUAUUUGCUAUCGAUAACGGGGCAAUAUUGACAACGUAUAAAGAUGUAUCACUUUUAAUUCUUAAUAAUGUUAGUUAGACGCACAAAACUAACAUUAUUUUUUAUACACUCCAUAAUAGUGGUGGGCCCCGAUUAACAAUAUAUUAACUCAAAUAUGACUUUACAUGUAGCACACCAAAAAUCAUAAUUAACCCUGAAUAUUUCGGUAAAUUGCAGAAUGGAGUCAUAUUUGGCAUUGUGUGUCUAAAUUGCGUUUACUUUAUCAAUGUAAUUAUACUUUCUUUUUAUCGAAAAUAAAACAUGACUAGUUGCUUCAAUUUAGUACUAGUGCUGUUUGAGAACACUGCACUGCAACUAUGUAAGAGCAUUUCCCUUUCUAAUUAAUCUUGCUUAAUUGAUUCUUGUAGAUACUUGGUGUGUUUGAGUGGUCCGGAAGCAACCCAAUGCCCCCAGAGUUUUGGAUUCUGCCUUCAUUUCUUCCUAUGCAUCCAGGUUGGCACCAUUCUAAACACCACAAGUACAAAUAAUUCAAACUUUCACAUGUUGAUUGAUUUAAUUAUUCUCUCUACCUAUAGUCUUCUUUUUUAAUCUGUUCUACAUCAUGCAAAUGCAGCAAAAAUGUGGUGCUACUGUAGGAUGGUUUACAUGCCUAUGUCAUAUUUAUAUGGGAAAAGAUUUGUUGGUCCAAUAACAUCUCUCACACUACAAUUAAGGGAAGAACUCUAUGCUCAACCUUAUGACGAAAUUAAUUGGAAGGGAGUGCGUCAUCACUGCGCUAAGGUGAGUUUAACUUGAUUAAGUUAGCUGAUUAGUUCAUGUUUUCUUGUUAAUAAUUUGAUUGCAGGUGGACAUCUACUACCCUCAUCCUUGGAUACAGGACUUUCUAUGGGAUUGUCUGUACGUAUGUACGGAGCCUCUUCUUACUCGCUGGCCGUUUAACAAGCUGAUCAGGAAAAGGGCUCUUGAAGUAACAAUGGAGCAUGUUCAUUAUGAAGAUGAAAACAGCAGAUACAUUACCAUUGGAUGUGUGGAAAAGGUGUUAUGCAUGUUGGCUUGUUGGGUGGAAGAUCCAAAUGGGGAUUAUUUUAAAAAGCAUCUUGCCAGGAUACCGGAUUAUUUAUGGGUUGCUGAGGAUGGGAUGAAGAUGCAUGUAUAACACAUUUUGUUAAUACAUUACAUGAUACGAUGAAUUGUUCUUGAUCCUUUUUUUCUGUUUCAAAAGCUUACUCUUCUAAAUCAUUGGAAAACAUUAUAAAUUGAUACAUUUUAUUGAUACAUGCAGGGUUUUGGCAGUCAACUGUGGGAUACUGGUCUUGCCAUUCAAGCUUUGCUUGCUUCCAAUCUAACCGAUGAAAUUGCACCCACUCUUGCUAGAGGACAUGACUUCGUCAAGAAAUCUCAGGUUCGUUUUUAUAUAGUCAAUUCAACUUUCAUAUUUGUAAAAUGUAAAUGUGCAUCCAUUAUUUUGUUCUAAAUAGUGACUGUUUUGGAUUGAUUGUUAAGGUCAAGGACAAUCCGUCGGGUGACUUCAAAAGCAUGUACCGCCACAUUUCCAAAGGAUCGUGGACUUUCUCUGAUCAAGAUCAUGGAUGGCAAGUUUCUGAUUGCACGGCAGAGGGUUUAAAGGUAACAAAUUCAACUUAGUUGUCUAAAAUGUUAUCUCAAUUUUUCUCACCAUAACCCCCUCUACAGUGUUGCCUGCUUUUAUCGAUGAUGCCACCAGAGAUAGUUGGUGAAAAAAUGGAGCCUGAGCGGUUAUACGAUGCUGUCAAUGUCCUAAUUUCCCUACAGGUGACAACUAUUAUUUCUGACAGUCAUAGAUAUGAGUUUGAUUUGCAUUUUGUUGCCACAAUCAGAUUUGGAUCUAAUGCAUGGCUGCCUUACUUUAAAAGUUUUGAAAACUUUUAACAUUUCAAUACAUUUUUUCUUCAGUGCAUGGUCUAUUAGGUUUCUCUAGUCAUUACAAAUCUCACUAUAUGUCUCAUUGUAGAGUAAGAAUGGUGGCUUAGCAGCCUGGGAACCAGCAGGAGCAGCAGAAUGGUUAGAAGUAAGAAUUUUAAAAAAUUGGAGUCAUGUUGUCGAACUUAGUCAGAUGCGUAAGAAACUAAAACUUUUUAAAUCAUUAUUUAGUAUACUUACUAGGAUAUUGUCCAUUUUUUCCCUUCAGAUGUUAAAUCCCACAGAAUUCCUCGCGGACAUUGUGGUUGAGCAUGAAUAUGCUGAGUGCACUUCAUCUGCAAUCCAGGCUUUAGUUUUAUUUAAGAAGUUAUACCCUGGCCACAGGAAGGAAGAGAUUGAUCAAUUUAUUACCGCCGCUGCACUGUACCUUGAAAACGUACAAAUGGCAGAUGGUUCAUGGUAUAUCAUAUGAUUAAAUCAAAAUUUGAUUAUAUAAUUUUCUUUGAUUAGAAACUGGAGAAGAAAAAGAACUUAGUGAAGAAACGUUUGCAUAGGUACGGGAGUUGGGGAGUUUGCUUCAUAUAUGGUACCUGGUUUGCUCUUGGGGGGCUAACUGCUGCUGGUAAGACCUUCAACAAUUGUGCAGCCAUGCGCAAAGCUAUUAGUUUUCUACUCGCAAUCCAGAAAGAGAAUGGUGGUUGGGGAGAGAGCUACCUUUCAUGUCCAAAAAAGGUAAAAUAUGAGAGGUGGAUUAUGAUUGAAGCUAGCUGCAAGUAUUUCUUAAUUAAUCUCAUUGUCUUGGACUAAGUAUUUCACUCUAUGGCGCGUGAUACAGGAGUACGUUCCUCUUGAAGGAAACCGAUCAAAUUUAGUGCACACAGCUUGGGCUAUGAUGGGUUUGAUUCAUGCAGGGCAGGCGGAAAGAGACCCCACACCUCUUCAUCGUGCAGCAAAGUUGAUAAUCAAUUCUCAGAUGGAAAAUGGUGAUUUUCCUCAACAGGUAUCUUGCUUACCACAUUAGUUCCAACCAAAAUUUUUAAAAAAAGUUGCCUUAGUAUUACUUGCAUUGCAAGCUUGACGAGUACGAAUAUGAAGC